UUUUUUUUUUUUGGGUGAAAUAUGAGUUAAGUGUAUUGAUUGAUAUGCAAUUCUACUUUGAUUUUACCUGAUAUCUAUCAGUUAUGCUAGUGAAUCUGAUGCUAAACGUUGUUCCUUGAAACUGCAAAGAUCAUUAGAGGAUUAACUUCUCAAACCAACUUCUGAGUUAUAAACUUACAAUUGAAUUUCAACUUAUUUGGAUAAUACUGUUUAUUAAAAUGAGUACUUUUGAACUCCAAUCAACUCAAUCUGAGUAACAUUAUCAAGUAAACGGCAAUGGAAAUUCAAUCAGAUAUCUUCAGCAUGUAGCACUAGUAAGCGCUCUAAAAUUUUUCAUGUCUCUCACUUUUUUUGUGAUUUUCUGUAGGGUUCUAGUCUGGGGCAGUUUUACAAACAGUAUCUUGAGCCAAUCAAGCUGAAUGAUGUCCCUGUAAUUACAAUCUCUCUUCUGCUUUAUUUCAUUCAGUUACAGUUUUUCCUGUUGUCUAUUCCACAUUCUCAUAUUAAGUUUAUCUUUUUCUACAUUUUCCUUCCCAAAGGUUGACUGGAAAUCAAUGGAUUUGAGCUACCUGAUGGAGGUGUGUAUCCCUUGAUUCAUUUGGAUGGAAAGCUGCUUUAUUACGUCUAUAGUCACUAUAUCUUUUUAAUGUGUGUCUAGGACAAGUAUAUAAAGCACUUUGCAGAGAUUGUGAAAAAGGCGAAACCUGUCCAUGGAGCUGAUCUUGUACUGAAGGCACGCAAUAUUGCUGUUGAUGUCCGUAUACCGUACAAUAACCAGCCAGACUUUGAACGCAUUGCAAAUGAAUUUGGAAUUUUUGAAGAGUGGAAGGUUAUUUCUGUUGUUACUUGGAGAAUUUUGGAUGAUUUUUCCUCAUUUUUACAAGUAGCUCUAGAGAUAAUAAUAAAUCGAAGGCAUAGUUUUAAACCAAUAUGUUAAUUUCUUCAUUCAGGAUGGAAUACCAAGGACAGCCUAUAAAGGAGUAGUUGUUUUCCGACACCAAAACCGACAGCGUAUAUUCCUUGUUGGUCCAGGUUCUCUCAAGCAGCUUGGAAUUGAUGAUUCUUGAUGCAAAGGUUAGUUUCAUGUGAGAUGCUCCAUUUCUGUGCUUCAAUAAGCAAGGUUGUUGGUCUAAGUUCAUAAUUUGGAUUGCAGAAAUAGCUUAUCUUAAGUUGGAGUAGUAUCUGAGAGUUUCCUCUUUCUGUAAUUAACAGAUUGGAGAAAAUGUCUUCAACAUUGAGGUUUAUGCAACACAUGAUUCGAAGCACGAGGGCAACUCAUACAAAUAGAUGACUGAUAUUGAGUAAACUUAGAGGAGGAGCCGAGUAUAUUUUUUCUGAGAAACUUAAUCAAGAUAACAUGUCCAACAAGUAGUAGGCUUCACAUACAUGCCUUUUUCAAGGUUGGUAGUCUUCAUCUGUGUACAAUGUGUUAUCUUCGAAAGUUCUACGCCUGCUUGUUGAUCUUCACAAACAAGAAAGAAGAUGCUGUGAUUCUUGAUAAUUUUGUUUCGGAAGAAAACAUGUAAUCCUAGUCUUUGUAUAUGAUAUAGAUACAUCAAAAGCGUACAAAUUAUUCUAAUGUGAAAUGAACUUCCGUAUGAUGCAGGUUGCUUUCUUGGUUCUUCAUUUUGGUCCUACACACCCCGUCAUUUGUGCCUUUCUUCCAAAAUUACCCUUAGUUGAUCUCCUAUCUUCACAGAUCAAAAUUCUCCUCGUCUUCAGUUGUUCACCGUCAAAGUGGCUUCGUGUUUCUUGUGCAAAGCCCCCCUUAUGCUUUCUUGUUCUGAACUUUCGACAUCCACCGUACAACCUUUUUUUCUGUUUCAACAAAACAUCUUCUGUAGAAAAAGUUGACUGACAUCUGAGAUUGCUCAUGAUUAUUGGGUAGUUUACUGAGAGUUUGGAAGUCAUAGUUAAGAUAUGAAAUUUUAUGAUAAUUUGAGUUUUAACUUGUAGUUUGUGGUAAGGUAGAAGGGACUGCAGCAAGUAGUCAUAGAAUUUUAGAAUUGUACGGUGUAUCCUCAUUUUCACUUGUUUUGUUUUUUUGGCCUCAAUGAUGUUUAUUUCUCUGGCUUUGGUAGCAUGGUGGGAUAUGUCAUGUAUACAAGUGGUACUACCCAUUUCGUGAUACAUGCCAUGUAAGUUAGCAAUGGGAGCUCACAAAGUUAUAGAGCAUCCCCUCUGUCAUCUCAGUACUAUUUAGUCUAGUGGCGUAGUGUUCUUUUUAGUAAGUGAAACGUUAUGAGUUCGACUCUUUUUUUGCUAUUUGUCAAAGUGCUAGCAGACCACCGGAACGGAUUCUAUGUACCAAAGGGUAGUUAGAAACACUUAAGACUAUUUUUUUAGAUUUAAUUUUAUUAAUGGUAUUAGUAUAUGUGCAUAUAUUGCGAUGUAAAUAGCCGGAUCAAAAUAAUUAGUUGCUCGGUUCACUUACACUUCCAACGUUAAAGAAUUUUCGGAUAACCUUGUUAUAUGUUCAUCAACUUUGGUAUUUGGCCUACUAGGCAAGCGGAUGUGUAUAAAAAGCAAGUGGAGUCGAAACGACGUCGUAGCCGAUCAAUAAACCUAAAACCCCAAAAACCCUCUCAUCUGAGGUCUCACAGUUCCGUUGUUCCCGCCGAGCUCCACCAUGGCCUCCUUUCUCUCGAAGAAGCAGAAGCAGAAGAAGAACACCACGAAGCUCUCCGACCUCCGCGCCCUAGGGCACGACCUCCUCUCCUCUCGAAGCCACGUCAACAACCUCCCGAAGCUCCUCUCCUUCAUCACCCCAACCUCGCCGCCUCAGUUCGUCCUCGAAUCCCUCCUCUCCCUCCAAUCCUUCUUCACUCCCCUCCUCCCUGACCUCCCUUCCUCCUCCUCCUCCACUCACUCCCCCGACGACGAUCCCGAGCUCAUCUACCGCACCUGGCUCCGCUCCAAAUUCGACGAGCUCGUCGAGUCCCUCGUCCAGGUCCUGCUCUCGCCGGACUCCGAUGACACUCUCAAGGUUUGUUUCUCAAUUUUACGAAUUCCGAGAAUUUCGGUUUAUUUUUACUUGUUCUGAUUUGAGAUUUUGAUGAAAUUGCUGAUAGGAGGUGGUGUUGGAUACGCUGAUGGAGUUUGUGAAAUUGGGAAAUGGAGGCAAGUUUCACUCUGCUAUAUUCCAUAGGUUUCUUCGCAACAUUGUGAGUUACGGUUUCCCAGGCUUUUUUCUGUUGCUUUGUUUCAAUUUUAGGAGCUGUUUUGUGAUGUUUCCGUGGUUUGUUGAUAGGUGUACUCUACGACGUCGACGGAUUUCUUGGUGGACUUGCUUGCAUCAAAGUAUUUCAAGUACAUCGAUGUGUGGUAAGGUCUCAUUGUUGUUAGGACUGAUAGAAACUGAUAUACAGACUGCUAUAAUAUUGAUUGGUUGAUGCUAUAAUAUUGCCAAUAGAACUAUGUAGGUGUGUACGUUGUUUCAUGUCCUUGUGUUGUUUGAUAGUAUUGCUGUUCUGGUGAUUCCUACCUCUUACUGUCAGUAACUGCAUCUGUUUUGGAACUUCUGUUAUUUAUUUGGAUAAUUAUCAAAUUUUAACCAUUGUAUCUGUUUUUUUUUUGGCAGUUAUUUUACCUACAUUAGCUUGGAAAAACUUGCAAAAACCCUAGAUGCAAAAGGCAUUUCUGGUACUUUCUCCUGUGAUUCUUUGCGAAAGGCUUAUCUAUCUACAUUUCCUAGUUAUCUAUACUGGCUUAUUGGUUUUUACCUACCCUGUAGAUGAUAGAAAUCAGAGCGCAGAUGUUAAUAACGGGAGUCAUCUUAGUGGAAGGUUGGUGUUUCACAUUUUUGUCAUGUUUUUGAGAAAAUUAUGUUCUCUUAUUCCGUUGUCUCCUCUUCCUUGAUAUGAGAUAUAUGAGAUUGUAACUUUUAUGCUAGACAUAUAUUUAAAAUAAUAUUCUUGAACAAUACUACCAUAAAUCUUUGUGCUAGAUUCUGAGUUUGAAGGUUGUGGAUACCAUUGUAUAGGAAUAGUUGCCACCAUAUUCAAAUCUUGGUUUUCUACCUUCUUAGAAUUAAACUAGUAACACCGGAUUUUAUAUGCCUCCUUUAAUAUUGGGUUCUUCUUUCUCCAAGCCUAUUGUCAUUUUUGUUUUUAAUUAUUUUACGCUGGAGUUUAUGAAUUAUUGUUUAGUUGGCAAGUUGUUAGAUUCCUUUAUAAAUUGUUUCUGCAACUUGUUAGCUUUUGCUUAGCUUUGUUUACUUUUCUUGCAGCAUGGAGCAACUAAUUCGCAAAAUCCAUUACAUUAUAUCACAUAUCCCCGCUUUUGAAGGUUCAGUUGAAAAAACUGAUUAUGACAUGUGGAGUGGAUCAAGUAAGUGUUCCCUUCCCUACCAAUCAGUACUUAAUUGUUCCUUUGCUUCCAUUACUGAUAAUCAUGGAUCAGUUGUUCACAUACAUAAAUAAAAAUAACAAGAGUGACUUUUUCAAUCCUUCCAUGAACUUCAUCAUUGGUCACGUUAAAACUUAAUGAAAUACAAAGAUGUCGAUCCAUCAAGUACAUAAAAAGAGAAUUAAUUUCUUAAACAUCAAAGAAAAUGCUUUCUCUAUCUACAAUUUUUUGGGGGAAAAUCCAAUGAACUAAGUCAUUUGAUAAGAAAGAGAAUCAUCAAUUCUUCUGACACUAGAUUGUUGUUUCAAAUGAUUUAUUCUAGUUCACCAACUGCUAUUCUCAUAGUUUCAUUUGCAGAGGUCCUCAUUAGUAUAUUAGAAUCUGUGCAGCUUUAUUAUAUGAUUGUCAACUCUAGUUACUUGUAACAAGUUGAGACUGUUGAGCUGUCCUCAUGCCUCAUAUUGGGUGUUCAGACUACUUAAGAUUUUCAUGUGACCUCAAAACAAACCUUUGUGUCUUGCCCUGUUUCCCUCUUUAUUGCAUCUUCUACUUUGUGAUCAAUCGUAAUUUAUCUUUGCUGAUUUCAUAUCUCAUUGUCAUUUUUUUUCUGUAGGUGAAUCUGAAGAGCAUUCUAAGAGCCAAAAAGCAAAAGAUAAAAAGCAAAAGACUGAGAAGCAUAAUGACAACGUAAGUUAUCAAUAUCUAUUGACAAAGAUGUUUCAGUUUAGCUAUCAAAAUUGUUUUUCAUCGGUUUACAAUACAUGACUGGAUUGUCCUCUGUAUAUUGCCUAAUGAGCAUAGUAUCUUAUUCCUGUCGCAAUAACAAUGCAGGCAUUGUCUGCAGCCAACAUUGUCAAAAAGAUGAAAUUAAAAUUUACUAAAGCAUGGUUGUCAUUUCUAAGGUUACCACUUCCUCUUGAUGUGUACAAGGAGGUAAGAUAAAUUCUCUUCCCUGUUCUGCGGUGCCUUUUAAACAUAAAUGUAUUGUUACUUUACUGUCUUGACGAUUGGUUUGAUGUAUCUCCAAUUCUCUUCCUGUGGCUACCCAGUGCAGUAAUAAUAAAAGUUAUGUGCAUAAUGUUUUUGUAUCACGUGUCAUGGGUAGCAAACGAUUUUAAAAGUGCCUAUAGACAGAGAAGCCUCAAACUUGCAAUUUAAAAGUUAUUUUCAUGUCUUAAAUUUGAUCUAGACGUUAUUUUGUUAUGGUGCUUGUCUUUCCAAUUUUUAUUUUAUAUUGUUGACAUUGGAUUCUCAUGCUUCAUCAUAUUCUGACCUGGCUUCCUUAUGUGCUCAGGUUCUUGCCAGCUUUCAUCAGGCAGUCAUUCCUUAUAUAUCUAACCCCGUUGUGUUAUGGUAUAGCUACAUUCUGAAAUAGUUCCAUGUUUUCACCUUUUCUCUUUCUGACUGAACCUAAUUUUUGACUACAUUUUAUUCAUUUUGACGAUGUACAGUGACUUCUUAACUAGAUCAUAUGACAUUGGUGGUGUUAUCAGCGUCAUGGCUCUUAGCAGUCUAUUUAUCAUAAUGACAAAAUAUGGUUUAGAGUACCCCAACUUCUAUGAGAAGCUUUACGCAUUACUGAUUCCUUCAAUUUUUAUGGCAAAGCAUCGAUCAAAGUUUUUUCAGGUAAUGUUAAUCACUACUGCAGUAUCAAUCAUCUCGUAUGUAAAUUUAUGUAAUUCAAGUGGGGUUUACAUGUAUUAAGUGUGUAUAUGCAUGCACAUGACAUGCGUAGUGAUGUUUCCAGCAAUCAAAAUGGAAAGCGAAUCUUAAGUAUUAUAACAAGUACAUAGAUGUCUGUCGUCUUUGUUAUUUAGAGUAUUCUUAUUUUCCAAUCAGACAUGGUUAUUUGGUUGCCUUGGUCAUAUCAUAUGUCUUUCAUGUAUAUUCUGCACCAUUUGCAUCACUACUCGGUUCGUAAAUCUCACUAUCAUGAAGAAAACAAGGGGGUUUGACAAAAAGUUGAGCUUUGAGUGUUGAAAAAAGAAGGCCAAAGUUAGAAUUGAAACUAAAUAGCCAGCUUAAGUGUUUGUGAUGGUCAUUGAUUAUUUGUGCUAUUUACUGUUUGCAGCUUCUUGAUUCUUGCUUAAAGUCACCACUUCUUCCUGCUUAUUUGGCUGCUGCUUUUGCUAAGAAAUUGAGUAGGCUGUCACUUUCAGUCCCUCCUUCUGGAGCCUUGGUUGUUAUUGCGUUGAUUCAUAAUCUUCUACGGAGACACCCUUCAAUCAACUGUUUGGUGAAUCGGGUAACUGUACAAUCUAUAUUUUGUCCUUUUCAAUGUAUUUACUUUCCUAUGAUGUGAAUGUGAACAAGCAAGCUGGGCUUAUGAGUAAGUAGUCCUGUUGAUGAGUUCUUUUGUAUUCAACAACCUCUGACUUCCUUUUCCUAUCUCUUUCAUCUUCGCCUCAGAUAAACAUUGAUAGGUUUAUUAGAAGAUCACAUGCCUCAGUUUUCAGAUAUUAUUUUUUUAUUUUUCAUUUUUAUUUUUUGGAAAAGAAACAGCUUUUAUUGAAACAAAAAGCAAAGUACAAGGAGGCAGACAAGGUGUCUGCUUUAAAUAACUAAAGAGGGCAGCUUGGGCUGAAGGCUAAGCAGUUCAUCUAAUUGUGCUAAAUCUAAACUCAGGGGCUUAUACUACAGCUGCAUCCCAGUUAAGAAUAAUGGAAGAAAAACUAUAAUCCUUAAAUUCCUUAGAAGUGGAAGCCCAUAAGGAUGCUCAGAACUUGACUCUCCCUCAGUUUUUCAGAUAUUGGAUAAGUAAAAUAAGUACACAAGGUUUAUCCACCGAGAUACUUUCUGUUCUCUGAAAAGAACUAUUCACCAGACAUAUUGAUGGCGAAACAAUUGUAUAAAAAUGGCAGCAAGUAAUUCUCCAUAUUAUGCACCCUGGGGGAUGGCAAAUUCGGGAAGAGCCAUGAACCUCACUAUUUGAGUGAUAUGCUUUUCACUUUUGGGUUUAAGUUAUUUUCUUGUGAUUAUACAAUCUUUAUAUAUUUGCCUCUACUGUGAACUAAAUUUUUGUGAACUCAUUUUAUUAAUUCAUAACCAGAUUUUUCUAACUAAUCUUAUUAAUUCAUCUCAUAUAUCUGAAGGUGCAGCAAGGUGAUCAAGAUACUGUGAAAGUUGAUCCAGAAGCUGAGGUAAGUACUCCUGAUGGUGCAGAUGCCAAUGUUACUGAUGCAGCAGAUCAGUCACUCAGAAAACCAGUCAUUGAUCCCUUUGAUAAUGAACAAAGUGAUCCUAAGAAAUCAAAUGCCAUGAGUAAGCUCCCCCCUCUUUCCUGCCUCUGAUAAUGUGAUACUGCAUGCCAAAUCCUGAUGUUACCCAUGAUUAUGUUGAAGUCAUCUCACAUCUCAUUUGCCAUCAACAUGUGCACAUGCAAGUGCUAUACUGCUAUACUUGUGAAAGUAGCUUUGACAUACUGAUACGAGCCCUUUCGUACAGGAAGUUCACUCUGGGAGAUUGAUACCCUCCGGCACCAUUACUGCCCACACGUUGCAAGGUUCAUGCUUUAGUCCUUAUCUUGCAUGAUUUUUGUAUUUGCCCUGAUGCUCUUUUUCUUGAUAUCAUUGUUUCUUGGGUUAUAGGUUUGUGGUGUCACUUGAGAAUGAUUUGACAGUCAGAAGCAAAACCACUGAAAUUUCUGUCGAAGACUUCAGCUCGGGUUCAUAUGCAACAAUAUUUGGAGAAGAGGUAGUAUAUUGGUUUUAAGAAUUCAUGCAGUAAUGGAGUAGAAUAUUGUAGCAUUCAUGAAAUUGAUAUUCUAGAAGAAAUACAAUAUGUGCGUGCAGCGGUUGACUUAUGCCUGGUGCAAUCAAUUUGAAGCUUUUGUACCAACUAGCUACUGAUCUAGUGGUAAUUCUAAUCCAGAAAGUUGAAUAAGGUCGAUAGUCUGGAUCCCUCCUUCCUCACUCAUGUUAAGGAAAAUUGAUUUUAUUAGGAUUUAGUGUAGCCUAAUUAUUCCUCUGGAGCUCAGCAGAGCAGCUCUGGUAGAGUUCUACUGUGAUUGUCAGUUCAAUCCAUGCAUCUGUUCACCUGAACUUCGGGUUGCUUGUUCUCUAGACUGGUGUAGGACAGUAACUGCACUCGUUACUUCUAUUGUUAAUAUUUCCAUUGGGUCCUAGCCUAGAAGAAAAAUAGAAUAUGGCUUUAGGAUAUAUGUUGUACUUGAGUUAGUAAUUUCUUCGACUUUGUAUUGCAGAUGAGACGGCGGGUAAAGCAGGCUCCAAUAUCCUUCUACAGAACGACUCCCACCUGUUUAUUCCCGGAGUCCGAGACUGAUUUUCUUGGGUGGACGUUCCAGUGUGAGGACAUUAAGAGAAAGAAUGAUAACACUAAUGAGAACGGGGAUAUGCAGAAAGAAAGUGAUCGUAGUUCAGGAAAACGGCAAAGAGUCGAGUGUGCAUAAGGAUUUGAUCGUAAUUGGAUCAAACAGGGGACGAGUUGGUUUUUGAACUACAUUAAAAUGAUUUUUAGGUCUACAUUUCUCAUUUGUACACUGCACCAAAUUUUGUCCAAAACAGUAACUAGUUUAUUGUUGUACUUCUUUGCACUACAUUCCUUGAACUUGUACUGAAAGAGAUAUUAUUAAAGCCAAGUUCUUGAAAUCAAUUGUGUUACAUUUUGUUUUGCACGUUUACCCUUAAGAGAAUAUGAAUGGAUUGAUGUUUUGACGUGUAUUGGUUGAAUCUUUGUGAGGUCUUCUGGGAAUGCUUCUUUUGACACUGCCAUUUUCUUUUUCCCUUCCCGAGACUUGGUUCUUCAUAUUAUUUUUUCAGAAAAUCAAAUUACCCUUCAUCAUAGAAAUCAUCGGUUCACCAGAAUAAAUUUUCCGAUCGGUCUUGAAACCAAAUCCAACUGGUCCAAGAAGAUGAAGAAGAGUCGAAGAUAAGACUGGUAAUCUUUUACAUUUCACAAUUUGGCAAUAUUUGGAUUAUUUGCACCGAACAAGAAAUAUCUAAAACAUUGAUGGCUACUUGAGAUUGAAGUUAGUGAGCAAUUGCGCAGGAUUUUGCGUAUUUAUUUCUUACAGAGUUGAUUCCGACACAAUUGAAAAGGAAAACUAAUUUAUUUACUAUUAAGAAUUAUUAUGUACAAAUAAUCUCAAUCAAAAGCCAGACAGAUUAAUUAGAACCCACUACAAGCAAUGGUUGGCUGUUGAUGGAAUUUUGAACAAGUAAAGAAGAAAGAAAAAGACUGAUCUUUCAAUAAUCAAUAAUCAAUAUCAUCCACAAACAUGAUGUUUGAUAGCAUCUAAUCUGGUCAUACAUUACUAUUUAGUACCUCCUGCAGAAGAUUCAGACCUUCUGCUGAUAUACUCCUCUUGAACUUGAACUUUGGGAUCUCAAGCUGAGGCGGUGGUUCUGGGGAGAAACAUACAACUACAACGGUCAAGUUAUCACAUGUAUCGCGCUUGAGAGCUUCCCUAACAAGCUCUCGUGAGCAUCUUUCAGGAUCAUUGUGAAGCAUCAAUUCUUUCCUUGCUAUUGUGACUGCACACUGGCUGCUCAUCACAUCCCACAACCCAUCACAGCCUAAGAUCAAGAACUCAUCUUCCUCACUCAGAAUUGUCUCCUCAAGCUCCGGUUCUGCACUUAAGGGACAAGUUGAACCUUUGGAUCCUUUCAUGUGCCAAUCUCCAAGUGCUCGUGCCACUGACAAUUGGCCGUUGAGAUAUCCAUCGUACACCACGCCUCCCAGUUUUUCAAUUCUUAAUCUUUCUGUGGCGCAAUUUGGUUUAUGGUCUUUGGAAAGUUCCACUGCUCUGCCUCUUCUUCCCAGAACAGCUCGACAAUCUCCAGCAUUGGCAACCAGCAUCGUCCUAAACAAGACAUUAUGUGUAAAUCAUGACUGUCUCAUCCACAAAAAAGAGAGGUAAUAGAUAGAGGGAACCUUUGUAACCUACAGGAAUCCUCCAGCACAGCUUUGUUAACAGAAAAAUCUAUCUAGUUUACCUGGUCAAGACUCAAGAUGAUAAAGCUAUGUUAUAGCUGUAUCCAUUGCACAACCGACGGGUUUACACAUGUGACCCCUUGCCUCACACCCAAAAUUUCUAUUACCAUGUUACAAGCCUCUAUAUGGAUGCCAGGAAAUUCAAAGGCAUGAAAGGAUUCCUGGAUGACAUGGCAAUAGUAAAGAAGAGUGUGAAAAGAAUGGUUGACAGGAAAGACGAAAGUUUACCCGUGGAGUUGGACCAAUAGACUAGCCUAUACCAUAGAAUGAUCUAAGCAUCAAUCAAAUUUUCACAGUAACCAUUCUCCACCAUGUAAUCCCAUAAGCUCCAAAAUAUCUCGGUACCACUUAUUCACUAAUUAUUUCCAAGAGCGAAGUAAAGAAGAAGGGCGACACGCAACUGGGGAAUGAGAUACAGUGUCAUACAGCGAAGAGUCGAAGACUAAUUACUUCAAGGUCAUAAUAAGUGUUUACUGGAAGCUAUUUGUAUGGACCAAUACCACAUGAGAAAAGACACCAUAGGAUGACAAUGAUUCUCACCUUCCAUAGAUAAGGGCAGUAAGUGCAGUGGUACCGGAGGAACUAUCAAGAGUACCAGUGUCAGCAAAAGCAUGGUCAGCCUUCAGAAAAGCACUCUUAAUAGCUUGCUUAGCACAAAAAGGGAAAUGUGAAUCCUCCACUAUAAACCUCAAAAUGUUCUCUCUGAUAAAAGAAGCUGCAUCUGUACCCCCAUGGCCAUCAAAAACCUGCAAUAGAACAAAUAUGUUAACAGACCAUGGCAUGUUCUAGUUGUGCACCCAAAACUAAUUGUACCACCAAUUUCAUCAAUCAACAAUAAAAGUAGCAAUAUCUAUAUAACCACAAUGAACUGUACUGGUUUAAAAUUAGUUACACACCCCAUAGAAAGCUCCAGAAGAAGGAAAGUCUGUAGUAGAUCCUAGAUGUUCAAGAAUAUUGUCUAUACAGAUAUGCUCAUCCUCCAUAAAUUGUUUUGGUCCAAUCUCUGAACAGCUUCCAGACCGAAAUACAGGUACAAAUGGUGAAUUACUAUCUGAUGAGGAUUUUGAGCUAACAACUCCACUGUCGAACUCCUGAGUGAACACACAAUAUCAAUUUCCAUCAAAAUUAUAUACAAAUGAAUUAGGAAUAAAGCUAACUGAUACAAUGAUACAGUCGGAAUAUAGGCAAUCUCACCAUUUCAGUAACAGGAGCCAACUGGGCAGAGCUGACACAGUACCUAAUAGCUGAUACAUGCCUGGGAGGUUUGCCGAUGUUGGGUUGCUUCAUGUUAUCAAAAGUAUUUGAUUUCUCGUCCCUUGUAACAGUUAUGUUCUUUCUGUAACUGCCAUCUAAUAUGGAAAGUGAAGAUGGGGUAUCUGUCCCUGCAGCCAUUUUCUUUCCAAAACAUAAUCCGCUCCUUGAUCGAAAAUUCGAUCCGAAGUAUUCCCUCUCCAGCGCUCCUUUUUUUUAUUAUUACAAAAAACUAGUUCAAACUUCAAGAGCUUUGAUUAACCAGAUCACAUACACACCCCAAACGGUACCACACAAGUAGUUUCAAUAUCAAUCCUCCUUUUCUCUUGUUUCUUCAAAUACUUUGUUGGGUACCUGAGUAGAAAUAACCAGAAAAAAAAAAUUCUCAACUGACUUCUCCAAUACUUUAUUCUGCUAAACAGAAAAAUCAAAUAUCCCAACUAAAUCUAUGGAACCAAAAUCUACAACUAAAUAGUCUUAAAUUCAACUAAAAUGAAAACACAAACUCCCUAAAAAGCACAUCCAGAUCAUGUUGACAAAACCCAUACACAAAUCCAGCAAACCAAAGUCUACCACAACUCAAAACCCACAAAAACUAUCCUAACUCUGGAACAAACAAAGCACAAAGCUUUUCAUUUCCAAAUCAAAAAAGCACAACACCCAGAUUCAGACUCCAAAAAAUUCAACCCAAAUAUAGAAACCACCACACAAGUAAAGCAAAACAAGUCAAACCAAACAAAACCCAAAAUCACUAGCAUCAAAAAACUCCAACUUGAAUCACACACCGUAUUACACAACUCUUUAACCCACAAAAAGAUUCAAGCUUUGCACACAAAUCAACACCAAAACAAAAAUAGUUGGUAAAAGAUGAUGAUGAAACAUACUUGCCGUACAGUUGAGGUAAGCUGAGAGACCAAAACAAUCUUCAAAGGAGAAUUUGGAAAAGGAGAGAGCAAAAGGGUUGGCCAAGUCUCCAAAGCUUUCAAACUCAAAAAUGAAAAUCGUUUUUUUUUUUCAUAAAUAUUUUUCAGGUUUUCCGGGUUGAUGUUGAUUCGUUGAAUAAAGGGGUUGAAGAAAAUGGAGUGCACCGGCACGUGGCUCUGGGCGACCGGCUAUGGCAGGUGGAUGUGAUGAGGUUGUGAGUAAGGGUAGCGGGUGGACCGACACGUGGCGGGGGAGGGGUAGAUAUUUGGGGGUGUUUACCGGAUAAAGGGGGAGGUGGUAAAGUUCAGCAAUUGCGGCUGGGGUUGGCCUACCACCGUUGGAUUGGAACAGUUAAGGAUGGACGGCGAGAUGGGGGCUGACGGUUAUCACCAAACGUGGGAAUCAAUAGUUGACGGUCGUUGACUUUGCGGAAAUGGCUUGUGUUGUCUCGGAGGUCAUCUUCUAUCCUAUCUAACCACCAAAAAUGGAGGCUUGCAAAACAUGGGUAGAUUCUAUAACAUCAUCAACACUCACCGUCUACCUUAAUCAUUUUUAAGUAGAAUACCGAGAAGUUCGUAAAACUACCUUAAUCAUUUUAAAGUUUGAACGUUACUCGUACUAGAUAUGUUGUUAUAUUUCUUAGAACCGUAGAAGUUGACUAUAAAUGUUGUAAAUUCGAGCUAUUUUCUCAUAUUUUUCUAGCAAGGGUUUCCAUCAUUGAAAUUUCCAUUCGUUUAUUAUUUGUCUUAUAUGUUGAUAUAUUAUUUUGUCAAAGUAUGUAAUUUUAAAUUUUCAUAAUUAGCCCUUAAGAUUGAGCCGUUGUUUGAUAUGGUAUCAUAAUUCUAAUCAUAACAUAUUAGAUCGGAGUGACUCCUCACAUGAAUAAUUUAUUCUCGUUUAUGAUUAGCUAUUGUUAGAAGGUCUCAAAUUGUACUUGAAUUUAUAGUUUUCCUCAAAGUUUCACACUUCUUAAUUUUUAUUUUGGUGACGAGCCAAAUAAUCAAGCUAAGGAAAUGAAGAUAUGAGAUGCCCUUAUUAUUUUCUUAUUUAAGAUUUGAAUUAUAUAUCAUGUUUCGAUUUAAAGAUACCAAUGAAAUAAUAAAGAAAACAGAUGCCCUUCCCGUAUGAAUUUCCUAUCGAUCAACCAAAUGAGGGGGACUGUCGUAACAUGUUUUUUGUUCUUUUCUUUUUGAUGACAUGUUUUUUGUUGUUCUUUGAUAGUGAGGUAUUGCCCAAAACAGUACCUUUGAAGCUGAUCACUGAUGUGAUCAAUUGUGUGCAUGACAUAUAGUUCAGCCUGCAACAUCAACUGUCAUCUUCUUUUCAGUAGGUAAAACAUGGGUUUCAUUUUCAUGCUUAUAAUUUGCUGCUAUCUGUCAUAGGAUUUGACAUGAAUGAUCAUCAGCUACAAAUGCCACAUUCAUAGAUUCCUGUAAGCAUAAUAUUGCUGCCAUUCUUUUCUGAAGCACUUGAGAUUCUGAAAGUUUUGCUAGUUUCUCGGAUUAAUUCAUACCAAAGUAUGUUGAUAAGAAGUUUUCCGAAGCGUUACAUGAUUGUAACUCUAACUUUCAUCAGCACAUGUAUUUGCUACAUCGAACGAGUAGGAUUUUCGAUUGCAUACACAGCUGCAGCAGAUGCUUCUGGUGUAAGUCAAUCAAGCAAAGGCACCAUUCUGUCUACAUUCUAUUAUGGCUAUGCCUGUUCACAAAUUCCUGGAGGUUGGGCAGCCCAAAGGUUAGGAGGAAGGUCUGUUCUCCUCAUCUCAUUUGUUACAUGGUCCUUAACGUAUGCAUUUGUCCCUCUGGACCCUAAAAAUGUCAAAACUAUGGUUUUGGCUCGGUUGCUUGUUGGUGUGGCACAGGGGUUCAUGUUCCCUUCCAUCCACUCCGUUCUCGCGCAGUGGAUCCCACCAAAUGAGAGGUCUAGAGCAGUUUCCCUCACAACUUCUGGGAUGUACCUUGGUGCAGCUGCAGGUAUGCUUGUGGUUCCAACCCUAGUGAAGUUGACAAGCCCCCAAUUUGUGUUUUUGGGUGAAGCAACUUUAGGGACUAUUUGGUCAGUGCUUUGGUUAAACUAUGCUAGUGAACCACCAAUUCAAUUGUCUAAGCAAAAUGGAGCAUUUCCAAAUCCUACUAGAAAAACCAAAAUUCCAUGGAGGAGUACUUUUAGAAGCUUACCUAUUUGGGCUAUUGUGGUGAACAAUUUCACUUUCCACUAUGCUUUGUUUGUGAUGAUGAAUUGGCUUCCAACAUACUUUGAACAAGGCUUGAAGCUUAGUCUUCAAGAAAUGGGGACUUACAAAAUGGUGCCUUAUUUCAACAUGUUCAUGUGCUCCAACAUUGGUGGAUUUGUAGCAGAUUAUUUGAUCACAAAGAGGUUCAUGUCUGUGACUAGAACUAGAAAGUUCUUGAACACUUUAGGAUUCAUGGUUGCUUCUAUUGCAUUGAUGGCACUGCCCAAAUUCAGAACUUCAUUUGGGGCUGUGAUAUGUUCUUCUGUGGCACUUGGUUUCUUGGCUCUAGGGAGAGCUGGGUUUGCAGUGAAUCACAUGGACAUUGCUCCAAGGUAUGCAGGAAUUGUUAUGGGUGUUUCUAAUACAGCUGGUACAUUAGCUGGGAUAAUUGGGGUUGAUCUCACUGGGAAACUCUUAGAAGCUUCUAGAUCUGCUUAUGAUUCCAAUCUUUCGAGUCCAGAAAGCUGGAGAUCAGUUUUCAUGAUCCCUGGGGUGCUUUGCAUUUUCAGCUCAAUCGGGUUUUUGCUCUUCUCAACUGGUGAGAGGAUUUUUGACUGAGUUAUCUUGUUAUGUACUUGGAAGCAGAUAAAUCAGUUGAACUAGUAAAGACCUGCAUUCUUGUGAUAUGUAGAUAAAUGAACUUGAACCUAUGAGUCCAAGUUUUAGUAUUUAGAGAAUUUUGAAGGUUUUUUUAUUUAAAUUUUCAGCACUCAAUAUAAAGCAAAAUGAGUAGGGUUUGAAUGAACUUCAAGCUUGAUCUUCUCCAGAUCAAGCAUGGUUUAAGAUGCCAACCAAAUUUGCUUUCAUGAAAGAAUUUGCUUUCACCUGUGGAACUUGUGGAUGCUCAUAAAAAAAUGAUUGAUAACACAUUUAUGCCCAAAUGAUCCAUAAGGGAAAAUAAAUAAAUAUGGGCCGCUGAGUUUGGGCUGUAAUUUACAAUCAGUCACUACUCAACACCAUUUUUCACACCCUCUCAUAUGAUAAAAGAAGUUCAUAAGCAAUCAAAGGGACAAAGAAUUCAGCCAUGCACUUGUUCCAAAGAUUGACUGAAACAAAAGAUGAGCACAAACAGUGCCCCUCCACAAAAGACCCUGUGGAAACCCACUAGCCCAAGUUGCAAGUUGCUUUCCUUCUUUGGUCUGAAGUAUUCUCAUGGCAUUUUAAUAAUUGAAGCAACUUGGGCACUGCAAGGAAAGCAAUGGGAUUCUUCUUCUUCUUGUGAGUUUUGCUAUUCUAGCUUUACUUUAGUGGCUCUUCACCUUUGUUUUUGCCUUAUUUGUCUAAUCAAUUCUGUUCCUUUUUCUGUCUUUGUAUGCAACUAGAUAUUAAUUAAUAAAAUGUAUUCUCUUGCUCUUUAGAAUGCGGUGGUUGUUUGACCCAGAGUUACCAGCUCCACUUCUUGUUCCUUUCUUCUAUCCCCUCUGAAUCUCCUGAAUUAUUGUUUUUUUUUUUUCUACUUUUUUUUUUUGUGGUGAUCUUUGGUGGGCACUGCACAUAAAUUUUUGCUUUAGAAUCGAGACAGAUUUGUGCUUUUGGUUUGUUUCACUGUCUUCACUUUGGGUUUUGGCAUAGUCCUUUAACUUUGAUAACCUAUUGUAUUUAGCUCUGUUUGUUUAAGCUUCAAAUUGGCAGUUCUUCUUCUCCUGGAAAACUUCAUUAGCACCAAGAACUAUAUGUAGUGUAUGAAAUUGGGUGGUGCUAGCUGUUUCUUUGAUUCUUUCCCAAUUGAAAAUACUACAGUUUGAGUUUUAAGUUGCUUGUAGAUAAAACUACCAUAGAAAACUAUAUUUAAUCUGAUUUUGAAGUUGAAUUUUAUUGUUCCAUUUGUUCAUUCUGUUUCAAACUUUCAAUAUAAGAAAUUAACUUAGCAAGGUUCUCAGUACUGUAAUACCACAAUGAAUCGCAUUUGCCUGUUGGCAAUCCUCAUCAUCUGUGUUGGAAGAUUCACAGAAGGAGCAUCAAGACCUGCUGUUGUGAACAUUGGAGCUAUGUUUGCAGUAAGCACCAUAAAUGGAGGAGUGUCCAAGAUUGCCAUUAAGGCAGCUGAGGAGGAUGUGAAUGCCGAUCCAAGCAUUCUUAGCGGAACAAAAUUUUCUGUAUCUAUUCAUGAUUCAAACUACAGUGGAUUUCUCAGCAUCAUUGGAGGUAUACAAUUUUGCUUCUGCAUGCCUACUUUUUACUUGGAACAAUUGUGUUUGACCAUAUGUAGUUACAGUUUACAUUUAUUGUUGAUCACAGCACUAAAGUACAUGGAGUCUGAUACAGUGGCUAUAAUUGGUCCCCAAACUUCUGUCAUGGCUCAUAUAAUCUCACAUCUUGCAAAUGAACUACACGUGCCGUUACUGUCAUUCACUGCACUAGAUCCCACUCUAACAAGCCUGCAGUACCCUUACUUUCUUCAAACUGCACCAAAUGAUCAAUUCCAGAUGAAUGCUAUUGGAGACAUUGUUAGUUAUUUUGGUUGGAAAGAGGUGGUUGCACUUUUUACUGAUGAUGAUCAGAGCCGAAAUGGUGUCACUGCAUUAGGUGAUAAGCUUGCAGAAAAAACGCACAAGAUUUCUUACAAGGCAGUACUUCCACCUGAUCCAACAGCAACUCGAGAUCAAGUUAAGAAUGAGUUGGUAAAGAUUCAGAUAAUGGAGUCUCGAGUAAUUGUUCUGCACACAUUCUCGAGAACAGGCCUCUUGGUUUUUGAUGUUGCAAAGGAACUUGGGAUGAUGGAGAGUGAAUAUGUCUGGAUAGCUACUUCUUGGUUGUCCACAGUUUUGGAUUCAAAAUCCCCACUUCCUCAGAAGACUAAAGAUUCCAUCCAAGGAGUUCUCACUCUUCGUCCACACACACCGGAUUCACAAAGGAAAAGAGCUUUCAUUUCAAGGUGGAAGAAAUUGAGUAAUGGCACUAUUGGGUUGAACCCUUAUGGUCUAUAUGCCUACGACACUGUUUGGAUUAUUGCUCAUGCUGUCAAUUUGCUUUUGGAUCAGGGAGGUACCAUUUCCUUCUCCAAGCAUACUAGUAUACCUCGUUAUGGGGGAGGCAUUAUGAACCUUUCUGCAUUAAGCAUUUUUGAUGGUGGCCAGCAGUUGCUGGAAAACAUAUUGCAAACCAACACAACCGGUCUCACUGGUCCACUGGCUUUUCAUUCAGACAGGUCUCCAGUGAAUCCUUCAUAUGAUAUCAUUAACAUAAUGGAAAAUGGUUAUCAACAGGUUGGAUACUGGUAUAACAAUUCAGGGCUAUCUGUUGUGCCCCCCAAAACACCAUCUAACUGGUCUAGUUCAAACCAACAUCUAGGUGUUGUUGUAUGGCCUGGAGGAACAACAAAAAAGCCUCGAGGGUGGGUUUUUCCAAACAACGGGAAGCAGUUGAGAAUUGGAGUACCAAAUCGAGUAGGCUAUCGUGCUUUUGUGUCACGACAAAAUGGUACAGAUGUAGUUAAAGGAUACUGCAUUGACAUUUUCCUUGCAGCCAUAAAAUUGCUUCCCUAUGCACUUCCACAUAGGUUUGAACUGUUUGGUGAUGGCCACAAGAAUCCGAGCUACGAUGAGCUUGUUAACAUGGUUGCUUCAGGUGUAAGUAAAACUUACAACGUGGAGACUGCUUAUUUUGUCACAGCAAUAUAUAAAUGAUAAAAAAUAAAUAAAAAAAAGAUGAUCAAUUUUUUUUUCUUCUGUAGAAAUUUGAUGCUGCUGUUGGUGACAUUGCAAUAGUUGCAAAUCGAACAAAGACUGUGGAUUUCAGUCAGCCAUAUAUAGAGUCAGGGCUAGUAGUGGUGGCACCACUUAGGAGAUCAAACUCAAGAGCUUGGGCAUUUAUGCAGCCGUUUUCUCCAUUGAUGUGGGGUAUCACAGCGGCUUUCUUCCUAAUUGUUGGAUCAGUCCUGUGGAUUCUUGAACAUAGAAUAAAUGAUGAGUUCCGUGGCCCUCCUAGGAAACAGAUUGGCACAAUUUUAUGGUAAGCAUUACUUUAGUACAUUGACCAUUCCAAUAUACAGACUUUGCAUAUGUAGUUAUGUACUAAUCUCUACUCUAUGAUUUAUCUGGCUUCCUUUUAUUUUCCAGGUUUAGUUUCUCCACUAUGUUUUUUGCUCAUAGUAAGUCUUCUGAUCUGGCACUGAAUUAUGUCUUCCAACGUACGAAUAAAUUUGGUUGAAAAUAUUUUUUGAUCUUUCAGGAGAAAAUACUGUGAGCUUACUAGGGAGAAUGGUGCUAAUCAUCUGGCUUUUUAUAGUUCUGAUAAUCAAUUCAAGCUACACAGCUAGCCUAACAUCAAUGCUCACAAUACAACAAUUAUCGUCACCUAUCACUGGCAUUGAUACCUUAAUAUCUAGCACUGAGCCUAUAGGAUUCCAAGUAGGGUCUUUUGCUCAAAACUAUCUGAUUGAGGAACUCAACAUCCCAAACUCUAGACUGGUUCCUCUCGGUUCACCAGAAGAAUAUGCAAGAGCCCUUAAGAAUAAAACUGUUGCUGCUGUGGUUGAUGAAGGACCUUACAUAGAACUCUUCCUCUCAGAUAACUGCAUGUUCUCAAUCAGAGGGCCAGAAUUCACCAAAAGUGGCUGGGGAUUUGUGAGUAUCUCAACAUAAUUGCUUUGCAUCUUCCUAUAUACAAUUACGUGUUACUUUCAAUUUUCCAAACUUUUAUUUGCUGAAUGGUCUAUCAACUUGAAUUUUGAUGAUUAUCUAAAACAUAUUCUGGUUAUAUGCUAAUUCAUUGGGAAGUUUUCUUUAGCUAAACAUUAUAAAAUGUUAUAUUGCCGGACUUCACCCUGAUUGCCUGAUUGAUCUGAUAGAAUCCUGCAUGUUGAAGUAUCUGGCAAGAAAGCAAUAUCAACUUACUUUUUUGUUAUAUGUAUCUAAUUUUGUAGGCAUUUCCAAGAGACUCUCCUUUAGCCAUAGACAUGUCAACUGCCAUUCUCACUCUAUCAGAGAACGGAGAGCUUCAGCAAAUUCAUGAGAAAUGGUUGUCAAAAAAGACUUGUGCGUCACAAACCUCUGACGACGUAUCAGACCAGCUUCAACUACAAAGCUUCUGGGGACUGUUCCUAAUAUGUGGCACUGCAUGUGUCAUUGCUCUAGUCAUUCAUUUUUCAUUGGCUUUUCGACAGUACCUCAGGCGUUCCCCUGAAGAUGAUCACCAAUCUGAUCUAGAGCCUUCUGGCCAUGGCAGCACAAGUUAUGGUACAACUGCAACACGCCGCCUCACAUUCUUGUCAUUCAUUGAUGAAAAGAAAGAUCAAUCAAAAGAUAACAAGUCGAAAAGGAAACGCAAGGAAAUAGCAUCAUCUAAUAGGAAUGGAAAGGAAGAUGAAUCAAGGGAUGCUAGUACAUCCAAGAGAGUACAAAUGAACAACUCUGAGAUAUUGCAUAAUCCUGAUAAUGAAACUUGGUUAACUCGUUAAAUCGUAUUAUUUGUUGUUUUUGUGUGUGUUUUUCUUUUCCGAUCUGAUCAGUGUUGUUGAGAUUUCUUACAAGAAGUGAAACAUUUACAUCAUGGAGCACACCUCUUUGCAGAUCGUCAUAUCUAUCACUAAAUAUGUUCAUCUAAUAAUAGUUGUCCAAUAAAGUGACCUCUUCCAAAGAAACUAAAAUAAUCUGCAGAGGCUGAUCAUGCACAAUACGAAAAGUAGUGUCUAACUUUGAAAACUAGUUUUUGCUGUGAACACAAUAAAUCUAAAUCUUGAUAGCAAUCUGAUGAAUCUUAAUCUUGAUAGUAAUCUGAUUUUAUAUAAAGUAUAAUCAGACACAGUUAAAUGUGUCCACACAGACCAUAGGAGUUGAUAUUCUCAAAUCAAUCAAGCUAGCACUAUAAAGGCAUGAUAAUGACAAGAAACUUGGUACACAACACCUCAUUCACUCUCCCUUAAACAGUAGUCAUGGGAUUGUUCACAAGAAAUGUUACAAUGCUAAUCUUGUUAGCGCUGUUCUUAACUGUGUGUGAUGCUAAUGAUGCUAAUACAAAAGUGCAUGUUAACAUCACCAAUGAUUUGACUGGAAAUUCAAGUCUGGCUGUUCAUUGUAGAACACGGAUCCGCGACCUUGGUGAUCAGAAGAUUCCCCAUGGAUCUUCCUUCGUAUUUAUUUUUGAUCAGAACUUCAUCACUAAAAGACUGGACUGCAAUGUGCACUGGGAUCAGGCAGUGGCUCGUAGCUUCAUUGCAUACGAUCAAGAUAGAGACAAAUACAGGUGCAGCUCCGGAUUUUGUUUUUGGAGAUAAGAAGCGAUGCAACAUGUAUUCUUAACAAACAACGAGGGACGUUUGAUUGUAAUGCUUGGACUCGUUAGUCUCAAGUCUAUGUACUUCAUCUUCAAUAAUAAUAUUAUUCGAAAGAGCUUCAUUAUUCUUUGUGUCCUUGAAAUUGGAUUCUGGGGCGAUUUAUUUUAUUUCAUGCUUACAUUAAUCUACCUCAAUUUGCUAUCUGACGAGUUGUCAAUUGUUAUUGUUGAUCAACAUAUAGUAGUUCACCUCUGUUGUGUGGUCAUCCUCCUAGCUAUAAUAACUUCCUGUAUGUCAUGAUAUUGGAAAACAUCAAUUUGACUAUAUUUGUUGCAUUUUUUUCUUGAUGAUAUAAUUGUUAUUUUCUUUCAUUUAUCAGUGAAUGACUAAAAACUUCAGCAGCCAGGCCUGAAAGAAGAGGCUCACGAUCAAGUGGUGUUCAUCUUCAGGCGAAUGUAUGGCAAUUAUUUCAAUCAAAAGUAAUUCUCUAUAACAAUGGUUACAAACACUACAUUAACAUUCAAUUUGGUUACAUUUUUCAAUUUAGUCUAAUUAACACUACAUUAACAUUCUAUUAAGAUCUCAAUUAUUUCUCCUUAGAUGAUUUAGCUUUGUUUUCACAGCUGAAGUUUUAAGCCUUCCAAUUUUCAUCUUGAUCUCUUCCAGAACUUAUUCCUGUCUCCAUCUCUCUCUCACACAACUGAGCUCCCAUCCUAUCGUUGAGUAUUGACAUAGGAAAAUGGUGACAUUGCGCAUGAGUUGUAGUUCAAAACGAUAAUGGAUAAGUUGUUGUUGAAUACCUGAAUUAAGAUAGUGCUCAAUAUCUGGAAAAGUACAACAUGUACCUAAACAGAUUCACUUUACUGUGCUCAAAGUACAGUUCUUUCUGUGUUUUACUGUCAUCACUCAUCACCCAUAUGACAGUAAAAGCUUUUGUAUUUAUUUUUUUUGGUAUGACUGAAAACCCAUGACAGCGGUCGCUGAAGUUUCUUCUUCUUCUCUGCUUCCCAAAGCCGCGUUAUGGCGGGUGGGGUCUCAGCAAUGGUCCCAAGCCCAGGCAGCACCGCGACCAUUCUGUUCCAACCCUUAAAUGAUAAUGUACCUAAAAAUUGGUCCUGAAAUCUCUUUCAUAUUUUAGAAACAAAUAAAAUAGCUUUCAACCGAAAACAAAUGAAACCAAAAAUAAAAAACACUCGGGGUUCGGUUACAUGAGCUUUCAUGGCGUUUUGUAUUACUAAACUACAAUGUUCCUAAAGAUUCUAAGUACAAUAUCUUAGAGAACAGCUGGAUUCGUGGGGGUUGGUUUGUCUCUGAGUCUGAGGUUGUUCUAUUUCCGUAUCCAACUCUUUUUCUCCUUUUUUUUUUUUUUCGUGGGGUCCUCUCCAUAUUUUAGCCACUGUAAUUGACAGCCUCAUCAACAGCCUGGAAAAGGUGGCCGGCACUAAAAAGCUUAGACCUUGAUGGGUUUCUAUGGUGGGCUUCACGUUCUAGUGCACACCCAGUUCUCUGUGCUGCAAAAAGUUUCAAUCUUGCUCUCUCAUUGAGGUAAUGGCUUUAACAAAGUUCAAAUCUUUUUUUGGUUUAUCUGUUUGUGUUGCUGAACUUGGAUUUGUUUGAGUUUGGUCUACAUUGGAGCUACUGUUAAUGCUUUUAUCUUUUUUGGCAAUGCUAGGAUUUUCCUACUUGGUAUAGAAGAACUGGGUAUUUGGGAUUGAGUGCAAUAGAUCUGAGGUGUUUGAAGUUGUGGAGUUUAGGCAUUUGGGAUAGUGGGGCUUGUGCUUUGCUGAUCUUUUGGUGGGUUGGUUGGAUUUGAUCAUGGUGAAGAUGAAACUAGUCAGUUGGGUAGCUUUGGUUCUGGCAAUUGUUGUGUCUAUGAGUCAUGGAGCCUUUGGUUUAUUCAAUCCUGUUGAUAACUAUUUGAUUGCUUGUGGUUCUUCGGAAAAUGUCACAUUUGAAGGCCGAACCUUUGUUCCUGAUACACUGCAGUCUUCCCUUGUGCUGAAAGGUGCUAAUUCUUUAGUUGCUAGCUCCAGUUCCAAUGCCCCAUCUCCUAUUUACCAAUCUGCUCGAAUUUUCAAGGAAACAUCUUCCUACAAAUUCAAAAUCCAGCAAGAGGGCCGCCAUUGGGUUCGCCUUUAUAUCUACCCUUUAGCAAAUUCGGUCCAGAACUUGGCGUCUGCUCCGAUAACAGUGGUCACUGAUAGCUUUGUACUCUUGAAUAACUUCACUUUUCAGAACUAUAAUGGUUCUUAUCUAUUCAAGGAGUAUGCAAUCAAUGUGACUUCAGAUAGUUUGACCCUAACCAUCAUUCCUUCAAACAAUUCAGUUGCUUUUGUUAAUGCAAUUGAAGUUGUCUCUAUCCCUGAUGAACUGAUCCCUGAUCAGGCAUAUGCUGUAAAUCCAUCUGCUCCUUUUAGUGGUCUUUCGGCACUUGCUCUUCAAACUAUGUACCGAUUAAACAUGGGGGGUCCUUUGCUCACUGCUGAGAAUGAUACCCUUAAAAGAACUUGGGAGAAUGAUGUGAAAUACCUCCAUGUCAACAGCUCAGCAGUGAAUGUAUCAAUCAACCCUGCCAGCAUAAAGUAUCCGGUCAGUGUAACACCAGAGAUAGCACCUAAUUGGGUCUAUGCCACUGCUGAAGCCAUGGGAGAUGCGAAUGUACCAAAUGGAAAUUUCAACAUAACUUGGGUCUUUCCAGCUGAUCCAAAUUAUUUGUAUCUUGUUCGGGUACAUUUCUGUGAUAUUGUCAGCAAGGCACUGAAUAGCCUAGUUUUCAAUCUUUUCAUCAAUUCAGACAAUGUGCUCUCAAGUCUUGACCUCUCUUCCAUUACUGGUGACUUGAAUGUGCCAUAUUACAAGGACUUUGUUGCCAACUCCUCAGCAGAUUCAAAUACUUUGACAGUCAGUGUCGGUCCAGAUUCAAUGGCUGAUAUCACUAAUGCAAUUCUGAAUGGCUUGGAGAUUCUGAAGAUCAGCAAUGACUUGGGGAGCUUGGAUGGGUCUUUGUCAGUUCAGAGUCUCCUUCCCAGUUCACCCUCUAAGAGUAAUAAGAUAGUAAUCUUAGUUGGGUGUGUCAUAGGAGCUGUAGCUCUUGUGGCAAUAAUUGCUCUCUUUUAUUGCUGCCUGGCAUCUCGCAAGUCAAAGACUACUCCUAACCAAGGGCAUCCAUGGCUGCUUCUGCCCUUGUAUGGAAACUCUCAGACAAUGACCAAAAUGUCCACAACUUCACAGAAGAGUGCAACAGCUAGCUGCAUUUCAUUAGCUUCCUCUAAUCUUGGCCGCAUAUUCAUGUUCCAAGAAAUCCUGGAUGCAACCAACAAGUUUGAUGAGAACCUACUUCUUGGGGUUGGUGGUUUUGGCAGAGUUUACAAGGGAACACUAGAGGAUGGGACAAAAGUAGCUGUUAAAAGAGGAAACCCCAGAUCCGAACAAGGUAUUGCUGAAUUCCGAACCGAGAUUGAAAUGUUAUCAAAGCUUCGUCAUCGCCACCUUGUGUCUCUUAUUGGUUACUGUGAUGAAAGAUCAGAGAUGAUUCUUGUGUAUGAAUAUAUGGCUAAUGGACCACUCCGGAGCCAUUUGUAUGGAACAGAUUUGCCAACCCUAUCAUGGAAGCUACGCCUUGAAAUCUGUAUAGGGGCUGCAAGGGGGCUCCAUUAUCUCCACACUGGUGCAGCUCAAAGCAUAAUUCACCGAGAUGUGAAGACAACAAACAUUCUCUUGGAUGAGAACUUUGUAGCCAAAGUUGCAGAUUUUGGCCUCUCAAAAGCAGGUCCAGCUAUAGAUCAGACUCAUGUUAGUACAGCUGUUAAGGGCAGCUUUGGUUACCUUGAUCCUGAGUACUUUAGAAGGCAGCAGCUCACUGAGAAAUCAGAUGUGUAUUCAUUUGGUGUAGUUCUAAUGGAAGUUCUUUGUACAAGACCAGCUUUGAACCCGGUUCUUCCAAGAGAGCAAGUGAACAUAGCAGAGUGGGCAAUGACUUGGCAAAAGAAAGGCAUGCUGGACCAAAUCAUGGACCCAAAUCUGGCUGGGAAGGUAAAUCCAGCUUCUCUUAAGAAGUUUGGUGAGACAGCUGAGAAGUGCCUUGCCGAGUAUGGUGUUGAUAGGCCAUCAAUGGGAGAUGUCUUGUGGAAUCUAGAAUAUGCUCUUCAGCUUGAGGAGACUUCGUCUGCACUCAUGGAACCUGAAGAUAACAGCACAAACCACAUACGGGAUAUUGAAUUGACACCACUUGAGCCAUUUGACAACAGUGUGAGUAUGAUCGAGGGAGGGCACUCUGGCACAGACGAAGACGCUGAAGAUGCUGCAACAAGUGCUGUGUUCUCUCAGCUAGUUAAUCCUCGUGGAAGAUGAGAAGAAAGAUGCUUUGCCUUUCGCAUUCUUUGUCCACAAUGUCCCAGGGAAAGAGAUACUGAUCAUCCUGGCCUUGAGAAUGCUCAAUGAGUGAAGGUUAUUUCUUGGUUCAUUACUAGUCUGUUACCUCAAUUUUUUGUCCACUAUUUACUUUGUAAUAUAGUUGUGGUGGAUGACAGUUAAUCUAUCAUAAAAAUUGUACGUAAGGUGCCAAAAGAUUUACUUGUAUUCAUAUAAAAUUCAUAUGGGUUACAGAGUUCCCAUGUUUUUACCAAAGUACAUGAUGUCAUUGUAUUCACAUAUAAUUUUUUGUUCAUAAGGUACAGAAAAUAAGCAGAGUUAGUGAUUAUGAUAUUCUAAUCUAGCCAUCUUCAUACUGUUCUGAGAAUCAUGUUUGUGUAGAAAUUACAAAUUAUUCAUAUUCAAUCUCUUUCAAGUAUCUCAGUAAAGUACCUUUGUUCUAAACUUGAGAUCUUGGAAUAGACAAUCAUAAUGCUGUAAGAGCAGCCUUGGGUUGAAAGUUACACUCUUUAUAUUAGAAAUUGUGGAUUUUGUUAUCUUCCUUUGUCCCAGGUACCACACUAACUGAAAUUUCAGCAACUUGAGGAAGUGACUAAGAUAGCAUUCUUGUAUGAAGUCCUCUCCACUCUAAUAGAAGCUUCCUGAGAUUCCUGAACAGAGAGAUGUGAUUCUGGAUGAUUGGCUCCUCUCCAUGUCAGAGAACUUCACGUGGUCAAUUUCAUAGUCCCAUGUUGCUGAUGGGGUGACCUCAAGUGUGAAGCUGUUAGUCCAAGGACUUGAAUGAGUUGAAUUCAGGUAUAGUCCCUGCUUCAGCCUUUAUGGCUGAGACCAAUGAAGCAAGCAUUGGUUUGGAGGUUUGGAUCGGAAACUGAGCUGAAAUGCUUGUUUUUCUCAUGUUUGUUGUCAUUGUACCAACUGGAUUCACAUGCAUCAUGGCUUAGCUGUGUUAAUGAGUUUUUCCAGAGGGCCUGGUAGUCGUAGCUUUAUUUAGCUAUCCCAAGCUUGGCUGCAGAUUUUGAGUGGAACACAACUUUUAAACAAUUUCAUUGUUAGUAGGUUGUGAAAUGUGGAUAUGAGAAACUGCUUCUUAAAUUUUUCUUGCUUCGGGUGUAGAAGAGAAUUGUGGUAUGGUAUAUACGGGGUUUUACCGCUUGUUUUUGAGAACAAUGUUUGGUACUGGUUGAAUUGAGUUGGUUUCUAAGAUCAAGUGUGUUCGAGAGCUGAAACUAUAGCAUUCAAAAGCUUGGGUUUUGGUAUCAUCACUAUCAUGCAGGUGUUUCCUUGCUGAGUUGCUGAUACAGCAAUGAAGCUUAAAGCGUGGGUGCAUGCUUGCUUGCUAAUCUGUUAACAUUUGACAUGUACUGGUGUGUAGUCCAGUCACCUUCUGUGAACAUCAACAUUACAACAGUAGUAACUUGCUCAUCAAUCUGCGGCCACAUCGCUUUCUAAUCCGAACAAAUGCAUAACAUCUUCUGGAAAUGAAGAUAAGUACGCCUGAUCUAUCCCUGGCAAUGCCGAAAGCGUUGGCAAUGUUUUGGUAUGCUUUCGCGCCCCAUUGGGCAUUGGCAAUGUCUCCUCACUUGAGUCACUUCUGCCCUCUAUUUCUCCUUUCCUAUUUCCAUGUUCUCAAUCUUAUUUAGUCAUUCAACCUAACUUGUUCAUUUGUUUCAUUUCUCUUCUUUUCCCCCAAACACAGACUCUUUUGCCAUAUCUUAAAUCAAGUGAAUUAAGAUCUACAAACCUUACAACUCUGGCAGUUUAUACGUACUCAAACCUUCGUAGUAUAACAAGACUCCAAAUUUCAGCCACUUGACAAACACCUACAAGACCAAAUCUAGACUCUUUGAUUCGAUUACCACAUGGCAUACACAUAACGUUAAAGCAGAAUCAAAGUAUACAUAUGUUUUUGGAUUGGAGCAUUCUACUUUGUAGUGUAGCUUUGGGUUGAAAAAGUUCAUAGCUUUACCCAUUAACUGUUAUAUCUGAUUAAGCCUAUACUUAACAUAGCUAUGGGAAGAAGACCAAAUGAAGACUUUUACAUGAACCGUUGGAUGAGUGUUAGAAAGUUUAGUAAUAUUUUCAAAUUUGAAGAAUUGAAGAUGCAUACGUUCUAAACAUUUAUUUAUCUAUCAUACGAUAUUAUUAUAAAUUGACGAUUACUCUAUUUUUUACAAACAAGUUUUUAUUUAUUUUUUAUUUAUUUUUAUUUUUUUAAGGAAAACGGAUAACUCCAUUGAUGAUCAUCAUAACGAUCUUACAAGAUCAAGUUUGAAGGUCAUACACGACUUCAUAUAAUCAUCAACUACGCAAUGACUGGAUUCUACACCUAUAAUGGGAAUGCAACUAAAAAAUAACCAAAGUCUUAACAAAAGCAAAGCUGAAUGAAAACGAACAAGAAUUGAAAGACUCAACAAAAACAAAAUAGACUCAGCAGAAGCAAAACUGACUCAAUUACUAAAGAGACUAAACUGCUACAACAUUACACAAUUUUAAGAUCAAUCAACCAAGAGGCUUAGGGCCUAAAGACCUUCAUGGUGUACCCCUCCACCUCUAAAUCAACCAAAAAUCUAAAAUCAUGUAAUGUCGUCGCAAUCAACCUCAUUCCUCAACUGUUGGAACGAGCUCUCCCUCCUCCCCACCUCCGAGAUCACACUAAUCUCAAAAGCAAUGGGCGCUGAGAGAAUAGGGAUUUCCUCCUUUGGCUUCGGCUUGUUCAUGCUGCCACAUGGACUACCAUGUUUCAUGGAUCCACUGCUCCUAAAUAGCUCCAGCCCGCCUAUAUUUUUUGAAAACCCUAGCUGCUCACGUUGCAGCUCGAAAGAAAUGUGAAACUCAGAUAUAACGACGAGUUUAAUAUGAGUCAAACUUACGACCUCACACUCACAAAGAAAGACUUAUGCCAUUUGACCAAAUGAUACUAGGUUUUUACAGUUUUUUUUUUUAAGGAAACAUGUCAAACUUUAUUGAGAAACAAAACUAUUACAUAAUGGGAAAUUCAGCUGCAACAACAGCUUGUAUAAAAGACGGAACUCUAAAAUAAAAAAAUAAAAAAAGUAAUGUUAGGUGAAUCACAUUUUGAUGAACCACCAAGAGCCCACCUUACGUGGCAGAUGACGUGACAUGCCUACUCAUUAAUUAUGUGUCAUUUCUAAUAUUUUCAAAUUUCAGUUUUUUUUGUUAAUUACGAAAUUUCUUUUCAUUUUUACUUUCUUAUUUUUAUUUUUUAACCCAUAUCCUUUAUCUUACUAAUCCUUAAAAAAAUUGAUCAAAAAAACUAAUCCUUAAAAAAAUCUUUAUGAAAUACCCUAGCCUGCUCUUGUCUCACUCAUUCGCUCCCACAUCCCUCUUCAAUUUAGUCGAUUAAGGAAUUCUCAAGAUCCAUGGAAAAUGGUUGAUUGUUGACACCAAUGAUCAACCAUUUUGACGAUGUUCCCCUCCAAGAUGUACACACAACACAGAACUUUAAUGAAUCAAUGAGUGAUAACCACUUCACCAACAUCUCAAUCAAGUCAUCAGGAAUAUGAUAAGACCACCUAUUCGAGAUAGAGACUACUCCAUUGGCAAUUUCACCAUACGCAUCUACUAAUUCUAAUUGACGGAAAAGUUUAUUUUUCAAUGUAUCAUCUUCGACACUUGUUGCGUUAAUUCUACCAUCGGCCCUGCUGCAUCUUGGGAGAGGUCGACAUCAAACUGAGAAUUCCUUAAUCAAUUAAAUUGAUGAGGAGGUGGGAGGAGGGGUGAGAUAAGAGGAGGAUUGGAAUUAGGGCAGAACUACGUUUGUUGUGGUGUAUUAACGAUUAAAAAGAUAAAUGAUAGGGUUUAAAAAAAUAAAAAUGAAAAGAAAUUUUGUAAUUAACAAAAAUAAAAAUUAAAAAUACUAGAAAUAACACAUAAUUGUUAAUGUAGACAUGCCACGUCAGCUGUCACGUAAGAUGAGUUUUUGGUGGUUCACCUAACAUUACUCAAUAAAAAAUCCCUCUAAUAGGAGAAGAUGAGUGAGCCGCCAUUAAAUAUGCCACUCGGUUUGCACUACCUUUGGUAUACGCAAUUCGUAUGGAAUCAGAUGCUUGUAGUAGAGCACCUAUAUCAUCAUAUAAUCUCCCUGUAAUUGAGAAAUUGUUCUGUUGAUUAUUCAGCAGCUGAAGGUUUUUACAGUUAAAAUGGCAUUAGCCCGAAAAAUAAAAUAUAAAUCCAAAAGUGUUUUACUUUAAGGCCGUUGACAACUCGAGAGAGAGAGAGAGUCCUCAAAAAACUCAGAGAGGGUUUAGUCGCGCAGCCCAAAACUAGAGUCUAAACCCCCCAAAAACCCCAAACUCUCAGUGACAGUGAGUCAGCCAUGGCUGUCUGCCACCACCAAGCUCCCUUCAAGCUCUUCUCACCCCUCCCACCACCAAACCCAAAACCCAUCUUCCGAUGCAACCUCUCCCUCCCCUCCCGACCCACCAUCCUCACCGCCGACCCCGAACCCCUCUUCACCUCCGUCAAGACCUUCGCCCCCGCCACCGUCGCCAACCUCGGCCCCGGCUUCGACUUCCUCGGCUGCGCCGUCGACGGCCUCGGCGACUUCGUCUCCCUCACCGUCGACCCCCAAGUCCUCCCCGGCGAGAUCGCCAUCUCCGAGAUCUCCGGCGACCACAACUCCAAGAAGCUGAGCAAGAAUCCCCUCUGGAACUGCGCCGGGAUCGCCGCCAUCGAGGUCAUGAAGAUGCUCGGCGUCCGCAACGUCGGCCUGUCCCUCUCCCUCGAGAAAGGCCUGCCUUUGGGUAGCGGCCUCGGAUCCAGCGCCGCCAGCGCAGCCGCCGCAGCCGUCGCUGUCAACGAGAUUUUCGGCGGGAAAUUAGGUGUGGAGGAGCUGGUCCACGCGGGGCUCAAAUCGGAGGAGAAGGUGUCCGGUUACCACGCCGAUAACAUCGCUCCGGCGUUGAUGGGAGGCUUCGUUCUGAUCCAGAACUAUGAGCCGUUGGAUUUGCUCCGGUUGAGCUUUCCGUUAGAAAAGGAGCUGAUAUUUGUGCUGGUGAGUCCAGACUUCGAAGCUCCGACGAAGAAGAUGAGGGCGGCGCUGCCGACGGAGAUAGGGAUGGCCCACCACGUGUGGAAUUCCAGCCAGGCCGGAGCUCUGGUGGCGGCGGUGCUUCAAGGCGACGUGGCGAGGCUUGGGAAGGCGUUGUCGUCGGAUAAGAUUGUGGAGCCGAAGAGGGCUCCUCUGAUUCCGGGAAUGGAGGCGGUGAAGAAGGCUGCCAUUGAGGCUGGAGCUUUGGGGUGCACUAUCAGCGGGGCUGGGCCCACGGCGGUUGCGGUGACGGACAAUGCCGAGAAGGGGAAGGAAAUUGGAGAGAGGAUGGUGGCCGCUUUCUUGAAAGAUGGGAACUUGAAAGCUGUGGCGAGUGUGAAUAGGCUGGACAGAGUUGGUGCUAGGCUUGUUAGUAGCAUUCCCAGAUGAAGUGGUGGAGUUGUUCUCGGGAUUUGAGUGGUGCUCGUAGGUGAGCUCUUUAUGUUGCUUUAGAAUUAGCAGUAAGUUCCCACAUUUGUGAUCCGAAGAAAGAUUGAAAACAAAAAAGAUUGAAAACGAGUGAUGUAUGUGUUUGAUUGAGCUGAGUUCAGGCUGGUGACAGAAGUAAAGCUAAUAAAAAAUUCAAUGCAGACUGUUUUGCUAUGCUUCAGUCUUCAUCAUGUUGUUUUUCUGGCUUCUGAUUUGGAUGUGAGCCGAGUCCUUUGUGAAUUGUGAGUAUCUAAUGUGUCUCAGACUUGUAGUUUCAAAGCGUUGUUGGGAAUGGUUUACCUAUUAAUAUUUUUCUUUUCAUCGUUUAUAUAUAAUAUAUAUAUAUAUAUAUAUAUAUAUUGUUAUAUUUAUAUAGAUGUUUUAAUGCCAUAGCUUAAUGGAGAUAGCGAUGAUCAUGUUUCUGUACAUGGUGAAAUGGCAUUAAAAUUAUGGCAAAAUCUGUUUAGGGUUGCUGGGAUGAAUUGGGUUUCUCCAGCAGGGUGCUCUGCUGUAUUAGCCAUUAAGUGAAAAUCACAAUGUCUUUGGCAAAGAAAAAAGUAAAAGUUAUGUUGCAGUGUUUUGGCUGUAAUUUGCGUAAUUUCAGCUUUGUGGGCUUCAGUUUCAGUUGAGUAUAAAGACCAUAUUUUCUCCAUUUGUGUAAUUGGAAGGGGCCAUUCGGGUUAUUUGUUUUGGCCUAGGGUUUAUGUCUCUCUUAGGCAAGUCCUCUGUAGUCUUCUUUGUUUGCUGUUGCUUCUAUAGAUAGUUGUGAACUUCAUGUGCACGGCUUUUGUUUCUUCAUGUGUUUGUUAUGCAUGAAAGGUAAAAACAAAUGUAUAAUUGAUAAUCUGAUUGCUUUAUCUAAACAAAAACCUCUUACAAGUUACAAUUGCCAUCUGACUUCUCAUAAUAGUGCUUUGGAGUUUAUGCAUUUGUUUAUGUUUCAGCUUUUAUGGACUUGUUUUCGAUUUGUUUAUGUGUCCAUUAUGGCGGGUGAUGCUAGUUUUUUCUGUUAACAAAAACGAGUAUUGAACAAUUACUCCAUUAAGGGUAAAAUCACAUCAGCAUCGGUUGUAUGUUCUGCAAGUGCUAUCUUGUUGUGUUGUCUUUGUAUGAAACUCUCUUUAUUCCAUAAUGUUCUGCUGACUGUAUUUAACGAGGUAGUAUUCCGACAAAGUAGAACAAUUACUUUUUUUAUAAAAAAAAAUCUGACAAAAGAUACAAGAAGUCCUAAAUUGGUGCUGUACUCUGUACAAAGCUUAUGUCAUUAGAAAGAAGAAUUUCUGUGAUAAAUAUGAGUCUGGCUUAUACUAAGUUGGGGCAAUGGGAGGCUAUGCCGCUUAACUCUGCGUUUUUUGGAAGAGAAGGUGAAUAUUCAAUUGGUUUAUGAAUCUCAUAUAUAUCCAGGGUGUUUAAAAAUCUCAUAUUUAUCAACUUUUCCUGUUUAUUGAGUAUGUAAAUUCUGGCACUGAAUUUCAGCUUAAUGUUAAAUGGAAUAUGGCUGCAUUUACUUGGACCAUACUUUUCAUUGCUUUGUAGAUGGGAGCUUUGGGUUACUUUGCUUCUGCGGAAGGAACCAAGUAUUUGAUCAUGGGGCUUUUUUGGUGCAGGCUUGGUUAUAACAAUGGUGAAGCACUGAAGCUUGGUCUUGUUGUGAAUUUAUUCAUUACAUGGCCUAGGAGAUGAAUCCAGUUCAUGAAAUUGUAAAGAAGCAGCUUUAGACUUUUGGGGUGGUUGCUGAUUCUGGAGGGGAGUUAGGUGGCUCUAUUGGCCCAGAGGUUUGCUGUUUUCAUGUCUUAGCCGGAAUGAGGUGUAUUACUCUUUUGUGAAUUGGAUUUUCAAUUUUCAUUUUGACAACUUUGGUUUUAUGAGUUUUUCAUUGGAGUUUCGGGAAAUUGUUUUCCUCUUCGAGGCAUAUCUGCUGUCAUUGCAAGAUAUUUGAAUAUAAACUAUUUUUAGCUUAGUACAUUGUGUAUCACGUACCCUUAUCAGCCAAAAUAUAUAGUCACACUCCAUAAUUCCUAAUUCAGGAUGUGAAUAUCAGAUAUGAAGGCUUUUCUGUUGCACUUGAUAUUUUGAUGAUUUACUUGUUUCGUAAAAGAUCAAAUAGUAUCUGUUAUGCAAUCUAUAAUUGAACAAUUAAGAUUGCUACAGUAGUAAUAAUGUUCAUGUAUUGGGAAUUUGGGAUAGUGGAGGAAAUUAAGAAUAAUUAGGAAUGAGUGUUUGCAGUGGUCUUUAAUCACUUGGUCAUCAGCAGCCAUCACUUGUUCUCAGGCAUAUUAACUAAUUAAGUCCUCAAUAAUGAUUAAUAGAGCUAAUUAGAUAUUUAAAUUCCAGUUGAUAAUGGUUCUAAUGUGGUGCCUAUCCAAAUGUGGAGUUCUAGUUCUAAUGUGAUUCUUCCACUGUAUUUAGUUCUACUUCUGCUGUGAUUCGAACUCGAUCUUUAGUUUACCAUCGAUCACUAUAUAUACAUGUAUACAGAUGAAACAUGAUUACAGAAUUGAGGCUUCUUCCUCAUCAGCAACCAAUAUCAGUGCUAGCUUCUACAGCUCGAGACUCGACAGUGAUGGGGUAUCCCGUUGAGCAUGAACUUGCUACCUACUCAUCAUCAUCGACCUUUCUCCAAUCUGGUGGAGCUGCUCAACCAAUUUCUACCCUCCCGCCAAUCCAACCAACCAAGGAGAAUUACUUUCUGUGGAAAUCCUUGUUCAUCUCAGUUCUGAGAGCCUCUGACAUGUUAGACCUGGCAGAAGGUCGAGAGCAGUGUCCACCACAAAGCGAAACCCUAGCUCAUACCAACUGGAUCAAGAGGGACCAAACGUUACUAACUUGGAUCAACUCAAGUUUAUCUGUGAGCCUACUCGCAAACACAGCAGACUUCACUAGCGGACGAGCUCUGUGGUUACACUUGGAAAAGCUACUUUCUGAUCAUGCAACCACUCAUGUACGUGAGCUCAGGAAUCGUUUAACAAACCUCGACAUGAGGAAAGAGCGUCACUCGACGACGCGGGAGAAAACCCCAACCCCGGACGUGAGGGAAGAAAGUAAGUCCAGUCUAGAGAGAUACCUAGAAACAGCUAAAGAAAUCGCUGAUGGGCUCGAAGCUGCAGGGUCACCUGUAGAUGAUUCUGAAUUUGUUUCUUGCGUCCUGAACGGACUUACAAGGUCAUAUGAAGGCUUUGUUGCAUCCAUCAGGGAUCGGCCUGAGCCUCUAACUCGAGAAGAACUGCAGAAGUCACUUCUAACUUAUGAAGCUGAACAUAAAUCCUCGCCGAUCCUUGGGUUUACAUUUGCUCUUUUUGUGCUAACCCUGGUUGUGUACUUGGCCGGUGGAAUAUCCUUUAUAUUCCCUCUAGUUUUAUUUGUUUGUUUGUUUGUUUGUGUGCUAGCAAAACUGAUCUGGGUCAUCAUCUUAUCAAGUUCAAAGAUUAGAGAAAGUGCCCACUGCGAGUAUAUGAAAUUACACACAGAGUCUGUGUGAAUAUAUUCAAGUGUAUUUUUCUUUAGAAGAUAAUGUGAUUUCCUAAUCUUACUGUGAUUGUCUUGUAGCUUGAAAUUGAUGACACAAUAUAACUCAAGUUUUGGUAUAUGUCGAGAUUUAUUUCUAAUCUACUUAACUCUUGGAUAUCAAGUUGAAUGUCAAGAUUGUUUCUCAUAACUGAAGUUGGAUGUCAAGAUUAGUUUUUAGUUAUUUUCUCUCUCCUACAUCGAGAAAUUUAGCUGUAUCACUAAUUUUUAAAGUUGUCAAUUAUUUAAGUAUUCCGUUCAAACUCGGAUUUAUCUCAAAAAUUAAGAAGUUGAUGAAGAAUAAAGUGUAGAGACAAAGAGAUAGCAAGAGAGUCAUCUUAUUCAUUGAUAGGAGCCUUUUAUAUAGGGAAUUACACAAUACCAAUAUGGUAAGGAUAUGAAUACAUAGAUCUAGUCUAACUACAUAUCCUAUUGACAUAAGGCCAAGGCACACAUAGAGAAUAUCCUAGAACAGAAAUUAAAAUAUCAAUACCAUUAGAGAUACUCUAAGCCAUUGAAAAAAGAUUGUUUCCACACAAAAAAAAUUUCAACGAGUUGGGGGGAAUCAGAAGUGGUAACAGAUUUGAAUGAGGUUAAGAACACGAAUUUUAUUUGACAUUUUUCUGGUAAACCCAUCUUCUUCUCUUUUGUUGGUUGCGCGUCUGUAUCACGUUUUUGUUGUUGUAAAUUCAUAGAACAAAUGUGUGCGUCUGAGGAGAAGCAUGAUUUGGUAUGAAUGACUCGUACGUCUGUAUUCAAUUUUGUUUUUGUUUUGGUCAAUUAACUCUUAAAUAGACAUUGCUUUCCAAAACACUACGCUAAACAAUGUGCAAGAGUUUGGACCAUUACUUGUGACCUAUAAUUGCUUUUAGGAAGCGAAACACCGUCCUAACUCUUCACUAUAGAGGUAUUAGACUUCUUAUCUUCCACAAAAUCACGCUAUGAACAAUGUAGAAGAUUUUGAUUUUGGACAAUUGGUAAAGCUACAUUGCUUUUCUAAUAAUUGUGAUGAUGGUUACCAUAAUCAGAAACGUGCUGUGUUUCUCAUGACCAAUCGAUUCCAUCAGUAUCUCAACCAUUACCUACCUGUGCAAAAACAACUAACUUGAAGUUGGUAUUGUUCAUUACAGAUUAGUCUGGGGUGAGCAGCAGCCGAGUUGCAAUCAAAGGUUAGCAAGUUGUCAACCUCACAUGUUUAAAUAAUGAUGUGUGAACUCACAGUUUGGUGAACCCAGGAGCCCAGCAAUUUGGAGUUCCGUGUGGUUGUUAAAGUGUGUAAUCUAUAGCAGUCAUAGAGAUAAGGGUUGUUACUACUUAAAUGAAGACUUAAAUGCUAGAUUAGGACUUGACUACAUUGUUCUCCAUCUUGUCUACCCUGAGGUCUUUAUAUUCUGCAUAUUCUCAUUGUUGAAACCCGGUAGUUAUUCGAGUUUUGAUCAUUCUGUUUUGACAUUAUGUCUCCGCAGUUCAUGUUUCUCAUUGGUAAAUCUCCUAUUGUCAUCAUAUUUCUUCCUUUCUUGUGGAUCUUAGCCUCUCUUAUUUCCAUGGUUACUUUGCCAUUCCUAUGGCUUGCAAGGUUACUAAACCCCAGAGGCCUUGAGGAAAACAUUCUCCGGUCACUUCCAAAGGUCUGGUAUACUGCAGAAGUCAAUGAAAAGCUCAAGGAUUGUGCCAUCUGCUUGAUGGAGUAUGAGGGUGGAGAUGCUCUAAGGGUUUUGCCUCCUUGUGGUCAUGGUUUCCAUGUCAACUGUGUUGAUAGGUGGCUUAAGUGCCACUCUUCAUGUCCAUCGUGUCGCGCCGCUGUGGUUAUGGAGAGCAAAGAAGCACAGAUACUUGGAGAUGCCAAAAGUCCACCAUUUUCAGAUACUGUAUUUGAUGCUUCAAAUCCUUACAGACUGACUUUCUGGCACCUUUGAAUCUCAUUAGUACGUUUAUGUUUGGUGCAGACAUAAAAACAAAGGGCCAAAGAAGAUGAGCAAAUUUACUAAACUUGUAUGUAAAGCGUUCCAGUUACACUAUAGCUAAAGUCAAAUGGUAAAUACCACAAACAAGAUGGAGAUACAAUAAUUUGAUUUAUAGUUUUAAACCGUUGUGAUUAUUGGGACAAAAGGGUAUGGAAGUUUUCUAUUUUCGGAGACAAAAUGUUUUCUGUUUCUCCUUGUCUCAACUCUGAAGACAUAAUUAAAGCAGUCAUGGAUGUUUCAAAUGCUUUCAUUCCCAUAUCCUAAACUUUUGAGCCACAACAGCCAUGGAAACUUUCCUUUCCUUUGAUAUUCUACCCAAGGGUUGAUAUAUAGAUCCUGAAAAGUGAAAACAUCAACUACAAUACUGCAUGAUGCAUGAAUUCAAAGCAAAAGUUUGGAUGCCGAAAAUCAUUACGGUUACACAAAACGCUAUCAAGUCGUUUGUCAUGUAUAACACAAAUGACAGAUAAAAAAUGUAUAUAUCAUCCUUUCUAAAGGAUUCACCGUACAAUUUGCAAAAGUAGCAAGAAAGUAUAAAUUCAAAAACAAGUUUCUAAUUCACAUGUAAACUAAUUGUCUUUGGCAGCUGCAGCAGCCUGUUUUGCACCAACAGCGAAGAACUCGGUGAUAACUUCAAGGGGCAUGCCUUUGGUUUCCGGUACUUUGAUGAAAACAAAAAUCCAAGCGAUGACGCACACUACAGCGUACAUGCCAAAUACGCCAGAUAGGCCGACGGAUUUGAGCAGCACCGGAAGGGAGUAGGUAACGAUGAUGUCACAAAUCCAAAAUGUGAGAGCACAGAUGGCAAUGCAGAGACCCCGGACUCGGGUGGGAAAGAUUUCUGCACAGAGAAUGUUGGGGACUGGUCCGAAUCCCAUCACAAAAGAGCAGAAGUAGAUCACAACGCUACCAGUUGAGAUUGCUGCAUUCACAACACUACCAAAAUUCACAAGGCUUCCAAGGACUAGGAUCACGAGAGAAAGUAUCAAGACAGGGAUAGUGGUGAGCAGUAAGGUCCUGAAUUAAGAAUGAAAAAGAGGGUAAAUGGUUAAGAUACAAAAUACAAAACAAUUAAUUGAAAUUGAACCAUAUUCUUUUGCUUAUUUGAUUAUGCUCCCUCAUCUCAUAGUAAUAACUUGGGAGUCAUUUUGGAAGAUCUUUAACUUGUCAUUACAGAUAACUUCACAUGAUAAGUAAAGUUUUGGUGAUUGGAUUACUAGGGAAUGUAGGCAUAACUUAUUUUGAAAAGACUCCAAAAUUUCUAUAAUUAGAGCUCACACAAAAUAAUUUACCUUCUGCCUGAGAUAUCCAUGAGCCUCAUGGCAACAGCAAUACUAGGAAGCAUCAACAAGGUUGUCAAUCCACUAAUAAGCAGAGAUGCAGAAGCUGAGCUAAGACCGAGGUUUGAAAGAAGCACUCCAACACCGGCCUGCUCAAGAAUUUGAGGUGUGUAGUAGAGAACCCCAUUUAUGCCGGAGAACUGCAUUAUUAUGAGAAACCCUCAGAGGCGUACGAAAUCGAGUAAAAGGGUAAAGAGUAUACAAACUUUAAGUAUAAUCGAAUUCAAACUAUGCCACAAAGAUUACCUGCUGAAGUAUUUGAAGUCCGACACCAACAACCAAAGCAUGCUUGACUCCUGGUUCGAAAAGAUCACUCCAACUUGUCCCUUUAGCAGAAGCUGCAGCUGGGUGAACCAUUGCUGGUCCAACUGGAUGAUGUUGUUGUAUAAGAUCUCUGGAAUAAAGAGCCGGUUGGCUCACCAAAGCAGUAGCCUGGAUGAACUCACUAUCUGCUGGUACAUCGCCACCAGGUAUUGAAACAAUAGACUCACGACGAGAUCCAGGUACACCCUCUUGGUGCAAAAAAAUUCUUUUAAACCCUCCUUCUUUAUGUCCAUCUUGGCCAUCUCUCUCGGACCAUUUCCAUGCUAGCUGCCAACCACCACCAAUCUCAGUGCUACCGCCUUGAUCGCCUCCUAGGAGACUGUUGUUUCUCAUGCUGACAAGGCUUCCAUGAUUAGUUGGGCCCAUGCCCUUUUCAAUGCUUGUUGUCUGACGUGAGAUCAAUGGACUAUGCAAAUUGUCAUCCGAAUCACCACCGCCACCUGCAUCGGAUGCAUAGUCAUCGCCUUCCCUAGGUGCAAUGCUCUCCUCAUCCCACUCUUCGUGCCUAGGUUGAUUCCCUCCCACACUGAACAUGCUGCCAAAGUGUGGGAAAAGCAUACUGCCCUUGCUUCCUGCAUCAGGGAGCUUUUCAUGAACACUACCGAAGAGUGUGACAAGAGGAUCAACAAUCCCACUUUUACUUGCCAUGCUCCCAUGCCGAGACACAAGGCCGAUAGUACUUUGUCCAGUCACUGGUCUGGCAACCCAUGAUUGACCUUGUUCAGUCCCAUAUAAUUUGAUUUUAUCCUUGUCAACAGAUAAAUCAUGGUCAUCAACGAGGUCAUUGUCCGGACCAAUUAUGUAUUCCUCAAAAGAUGUUUCGCCCCCAACUCCAAGACCCUCAACAAGUAAAGCCAUCUCACCUGUUGAUUUGAGAAGGGUCAAUAUCAUUUUGCAUAUGCAGCAUUAUGAUAGUUGUUAUGUUCCUCUAUGAAUGAAAAAUGUCUUAAAUGCAGUAUACAUAAGCGCGGAGAGGACAGAGCAUCAAGUUACCAAAAGAAAUACUGAAAGCUAUUAAGUAUGAAAGAAAGAGAAAGCACCAACACCUUGAUGCUUACACUAAACAUGUUCGAUAAUAUUUAUUUUACAUUUGAGCAAUUGCAGUCCUGAAAAUACUUAUGUGGCAUGUUAUGUCAUAAUUAUAUUUCACCAAUGAAUUUAUCAUUUUAUGUAUCGAAAAACUCAACAUCAGGUAAUACAUUAAGAUGGAGUGCUUUAGACUAUCCUAAAUCAUGGAUAUGAAAUGUAUGAAGCCUAUCAACAUUCACCACCGAUGCAAACAACUAUUUUGCAGGAUCACUUGGAAUUUGAAAGAGUGCAAAGGACUUUUGCUUCACAUAAAAACAUAGAAUUAAAGGUAGUCUUCUUUAUCCCUUCUUAACCUAUGUUGAUCUUGCACCGUAUCACUCAAGUUUAUUAUCAAAAUGAAGAUUUUGGGUCGGAAACCUAUAGCUAGGAAUGUCAAGGUAAGCUCCUACUGAAACACUAAUAAACUUCAUGGAAAUAAAGCAUUUAGUGCAAUCAAUCUUUGCAUCUCAGUAGUGACCAACUAUUCACAGUAACAAGAACAAAAUGACUAACCAGAGACAUCUUCUCUGCUGCGCAGCCUCUGUAAGACUUUCUUUGCUUCAAGCAUCCGUCCCUUACUCACUAGCCACCGUGGAGACUCAGGCAAGAAAAAUAAAGUCAAUGCAAAAUAAACAAGAGAAGGAAUAGAUAAAACCCCAAGCAUCAACCUCCAACUUGGUGCCUCCGUCAAGGACAACACAAAAACCAUACAAUAUGACAAGAACAUCCCACCAGAGCCAGCGAACUGUGGUAGGGUAUUCAAUGAUCCCCUUAUUUCAGGUGGAGCUGUCUCAGAUAUAUAAAGCGGGACAAGGGUAACUGCCAAACCAAUCCCCAGUCCAUCUAAAAGCCUAGCCAAGAGAAGGAUGUAGACAUUGGGAGACCAUAACAUUACAAUACCACUGAGAAAGUAGAGCACAGAAGAGAUUAUAAGCAUAGGACGGCGGCCUAUCCAGUCAGCUACGGCACCUGAGCAUGUUGUAACCAGAGUUGCCCCUAUAAGUGACAUCGCCACUAUCAGCCCUUCCACAGCUGGUUGACUCUCCAAAUUGAACUCCCUCUUUAUGUACAAAACAGAAGCUGCAGCAACAAAAACCAAAAAGGGUCAGUCGGAGAAUGUAAUCAAAAUACAAUAACUUCCCAUGAAGUAAAUUCCAUUAGCAAACGAAAGAAAGCUGAAGAAAAGCACACUAAAAAAAAAGCUAAAAAGGCCAUCUUUGAUGGAUCUAAAGUUGGCUAUUGCUCUGAAUCUAAAGGAAUCAAACUUUCUGUAGUGAAAAAGACAGAUUCAAAGCUAGUACCUGCGAUUGUAGCGUUGUCCCAUCCUUGCAAUAGAUUCCCAACAGCAGCAGCAAUAGCAACAAGCACAGCUCCACUCAUUGUCAACUCAAAUGUUCAAAAUUCAAUUACUACCCUCUAAAUAAAUCCUUCACCGACAAUCCAAUCAAUCCAAGUUAGAAGAGCAAAACCCAGAUCACUGAUCCGUCAAUCUUGAUCACCCAAAUCAACAAAGUGAUCUAGCAUCAGUAUGAAGAACUCUAUCAGAGACUAGGAGGCAGAAGAGCAUAAGGAUUAUAUAGGCUAUUAGAGAAUAUCAGAUCAAGCACAUGAACACAAUUGAAUAAAACACAGCAGUAUACAACAAAUUAAGGUUGUUGGGUUUACCUGUAGCAAGAGUAGCUUGAUGGGUGAGUGAUGUGUCAGUCUGCAAAUGCAGACGCCGUAGAAAGUUCGAGUCUUUAGGGCUGAUGAAACCCAAAAGCAAAGCCAGUAAAAUAUCCCAAAAGGUGGCAACUGAUUAAAGGAGGAAGAGGCCAAAGAGCAAACAGGAGUUUAGCCUUUUGGAAACAGAGCGAGAGCGGUGGCUGAUGGACACCUGCUCUCGUCCUCCUCUCUUAGCCUUGCACGUCAGCUCCCUGUAUCAGAUCACUGUUAUCAGUUUCAUCAUCAAUCGCUAGCUGUGAUUUUGGGUUUUAAAAUCCAAGAGAUAAGGACACGAAUUCAGAUUUAUAUGCAAAUUGAACAACCCAAAUGAAGAGAGUUUUACAGAGUUGCUCUGUUUUACUCUGUUUUUAUGAGCAGUAAUGUAGAAACUAACCUGAGAUUUACUGGGUUUUGCUGAAACAGUCCAGAAAACCCAUGAUUAGGGAUGUUGGGUUUUCUGGGAAUCCUUGUUCUGAGAGAAUUAGGAUAUGCUAAAGCUAAACUAGGCCGUCUGAGGUCUUAAACAAAACCUAAGAGAAAAUAUUUAUGCCAAAAGUACAGAUUUGGUAUAAAACCCUAAACUAAGGGGAACUAAUCGGCUGCAUGCUACACCCAGCUCAGCCCUGAAUAUUCUUAUUCAAUUAAUGUUCAUCAUUACCAUAAGGACAAGAACCAGAAACAAAUCAAAGGAUGCAAAAGCAUCUUAUGAAAAAAAUAAAAAUAAAAAUAAAAAUCUAUACAAAAAUAAACAAACGAAUCGUAUAUAGUCUGGACUUAUAGGUGUCCCUGUUUAUAUGGGGCUAGUCAUGUGAGUUAAAUCAAUCUCUAUUACAAAAAAGAAGAAGCAAUAAUUUGAAAGAGGAACUGAAUCGAAUCGUGCUACCGGUUACCUUGUUGUAAUGGAACACAACCUACGGACGAGGAAUCGAGUUGAAGUAGUUCAGUUACUCCUGGUUGGCUAGUUUCCACUUCCAACAGGCAGGAAUAAGUUCCUGUUCGGUUUUUACUUCACGGUCAAAAUUGUUUCAAAGCACUAACAGGUACUUGCACAAACUAAAAUGAUCAGCUCGAUAACAUCGAAUGCAGGGUCAUUUGCACUGUUGAUGGGUAGACGAAUUUUCCAAAUUUGUUUAUCUUCGGUUUUGUUUGACUCAGAUUUAUUAGUAAAAGAUGCAUCAAAUUGAGGCGAGAUUAUUUUUAUUUUUAAUUAUUUGUACACAACCUCUAAUUAUUUUAUUUUGAAUUAAGUAUCGUUGGGUUUAUUAUCCGGCGGCAACAUAGUAAGAAAACUGCAUUAUUAGACAUUAGGAUGUGUAAUCGUGUUAUUACAUAAUUUACUGUUCUUUCCAUUAUGUUAAUGUUGUGACAAAGCAAAUAAAGUUGUCAUUAAAACAAUACUCUUUACUAGUGGGUGUUUGUUAGAAUUCAUGUACUAUGUACUUUGUAGAAAUUCUCGAUAUUAUUUCGGGACUUCUAGAUUAUUAUUGUAAUCAAAGGUUUAGAUUCCUCUUAUAUUUGACAGUUUCAUUAAAAAAAAGCUUAAUAACAGCCGCACCAGCCAUUUAUUCAAAAAAAAAAUGACGCUUUAGUUUUCUUGCAUUUCAAAUUUAGAUAGAAAAUGAAUCUCAACGGUCAAAUAAAAUACCUUAUAUUUCUGCUAUAAAUAUCUAAAAUACAGGAUUUUGGUCUAGAUUUAAGAAAAAAAUAGUUUGUUAUAUAUUUGGUCGAUCAAAUUCAUGUAAGUUUAAAGACUUGUUACAAUGCACCUAGCUAACAGGUUGCAAGUUCAAUGGUUAUCCCAAAAUUUGUCCGGAAAAAAAAAAGAAAAAAAAAAGGGUUAUCCCAAAAACAAACAAAAAAUAACUUCACUCUCAUAAUAUGUCCAAACAACAAAUAUUUUCACUUGCUCAUAAUGUCGAUCAAUUGACAAAAGAGUAUUAUGGAAUAUUCAAUUAUAUGUUCCCUAUCAUUGGCUAUUACGUACAAUACCUUCCUCUCUAACCCAGGUGAGGGACCUCCAAUGGAGCCAUGGCAGUGUGAUGUUGCCACCAACCGGUGUUCCAUCCUUCUCUUUUCUCUCUUAAUUUGAUUCUCUUUAAUUUCUCUAUCAUUCCAGACAAGCUGGCUUCAAAGGGCCGGGAGGUCAGUGGAAGAUGAGUUGAGAUUGGUUGGCUUUUAUUUUCAGUGCUACACAUGUAGAAAAUCUCAGCCAACGAAUAUAAAAGAAAAAGUCAUGCACCUAAUACCAUACAACAUUGUUCGUUUAUGAUCUGCGCGCACUCUCUUUAUUUUCUAGACUGUAACCCCAAAUUUCACAUUCUUUGUUAACUCUUUAUUCUUUACUAUAAUGAAUUUAUGCUUGUAUCACAAGAAAUGUAAAGAGAAUAACAACUACUGUGUACUGAGACAUGAAAAUCACGGAAGAGAAAUCGCGAAUUCGCGCGCUCUCAUGUCCAUAUGGUUCGAGGCGAGGACGCGCAUAUCCAUCUUGUUAGAACAACAACGACACUCUAAUUUCAGCAUGAACUUCCGGCCGCUGGAUUUUCCAGUAGUGGAAUAUACUGGCAUGCAUUGAAUUUCUUCUAAUUGAGCAAAUACCAUUUUCAUGCUGAGAACAACUUCCAGAAUCUUACAAAUUAAGCUAGUCCACUCCUAUGAACCACCUCUAUCGAUCCGGCGGAUGCUUUUUAUAAUGCUGAUAGUUCUGUUUGGAUAGGGAAACUAAAGCCUAGAGGAAAUUAAUAACAAUAAAUUGAUUGGGAUAUGUAGAUGACCAGACCUAGUACGUUUGAGUAGGAGUACGUAGUCAAUAUACUUCAAAUCAGCUCCAUUCUUCAGCUAGCUAGGGUUUCAUUUACAUGCUUUCUUUGUUGUCUUAUCUCCUUUAAUUGCAUGUCUAGGAGUUUGCCGUGUGUUUAAUUAUUUUAUUGUAUAAAUAUAUCUAGUAUCAGUACGUAGUAUGUAUUUAGCAGUAAGUUUUAGUUGGAAUCCAUGGGUUUCAGAAUGUAGCCGGAACUUUGCCGGAGGAUAUGGGACUUGAUCGAUGGAAGAGAUUCCGCAAAUUAAAACUAGGAGGUAAGUAAUUAAGUUUUGUGAAUUUGUCAUCGGUAUUAAGUAUUGCUUCUUCAGAUUUCAUAUUUAGCACGAAAAGCACAAGUAAUACUUUCAAAUGAUUCGUAUGUGCUGAAGUAUAAGUCCACCAUAACUAGAUGUGAUUCCAGUUUACAUAGACUGUAUAAGACAAUCCAGGAGAAGCUUUACAACCCUAAGUUCCUUCUUAUUCUUCUUUAUUCAAUUGACUGAACAUAUACGUCGUACAUGCCUUUCCAUAAACUUGAAGUGGUCUCUUUGUGACCCAAGCUUGAUUAAUACCGCUCCUGGAUUCUCUUCACUAUAUUUGAUACCUUCUUUCUGGAAAAAUUUGAUAACAGAUUGCUUCACAAUAGACUUCCCUGCACCAUGUCCGGUAACAACCCUGAGGAAUCGAAGCGAUUGCAUGUUGGUUCCAUACUGAAUGUGCAUCUUCAAAUGCUUCAUGGCUUCCUUGACAUGCUUCCCAUGUAAAUCGAUGGUCUCAUGGUCAUCACAUCUCUAUUUAUGCCCUUUGUCUUUGUUUUUAGCUUUAAAGAUCUCCUGGCUUGCCUUCAUUCUGACGACUUCUCUCUGGAGUUGGUAAACAAAGACUCCAUCACCAUAUGAGAAAGACUUGCACUGGUACUCCUAUGAGCUUGAGGAGGACCAGCAAGAGCCUCGGCUUAGUUCUUGCGGGUAUGUUCGGAAGACAGUCUCUUUAUUGAGGAAGAAGAUAAUUCGAGCAAGGCAUCUAAGGCCCUUUCAACCUCAUAUCCGCACUGACCAAGGACAUCUUUCACCACACCCGAGCUUAUCUCCGACUCAUCUCCAAACAUAGAAGAAACUUUCGGCAUCCUCUUUGCAUGUGUCUGGCCUAAACUUGUAGCCCGGAGUAGGAAGAUUAUCGUGAACUAUUGCCAAUGAAAAUUUUGCAAGCAAGCUAGGAUGGGAAGAAGCGAACGUGCUUUGGUUCUUGUCUUUCUUAAAAUAGUUUCUAAUUUCUGUUGCGCGUAGGGGAUGGUGAGAUGAUGGAAUGUCCACUUAACAAAGUACUGCCCUUUCCUAUUAUUAUGGGGAAUCUUAAGCUUCAAGAAAUUAACCUUGUCUAAAUAUGUUCAAGACACGUACGUAGCUAGUAAUCAAGUUAGUAAACCCUAACCCUAUUCCCUGUUGCAAAUCAUAUGCACGUACGAUCCAUUGUGGAGGUAGCUAGCUUAAUCAUGUGGAUAUGAUCGAUCUGUACGUUUGGUAUAUAUACAUAUAUAUAACUGAACGAGAUCAGCAAUUAGGUAGUUGGGGCUUCUCCAAGACUUGGGUUGCUAUGUUCAGUAGGAUGAAUGAAGGUGGAGUGGGGUCCACUACUCCAAUUCUUGUUUAGUUAUCGACCAGGUCUUGUUUACUUCUUUGAGGUCGUUUUACUCUUAUUAUUCUUCAGAGUUCUUUGGUCUUUGUUAGGGAUAAAGGCGCGUGAACAAAUUCGAUAUGCAAGUCUUUUUAUGUAUCUCUUGGAGUUUUUAUUCUCUUUAUAGAAUAUGAUAUUUGAGAGACUCUGUGGAGCGUUUCUUGUACUACUCGGUGAAGCGUUAUUGAAUUUAAUGACCUAUUUUAAUAUAUAAAAAAUAGGGAGAGAGAGAGAGAGACAGAAUAUGAAAGAAAAAAAACAUAAUAUGUCUUUUUAUCAGGAAUGUAGAAGUGUGUAUUUCUCAUUAGAUUGACUCUUUUAUAUAAGAGUAAAAUUUACUUUAUAAUGAUAUAACUAUGAUAAUUUACGUGGAUAACCACAUAUAUAUUUACAAAACAUCUCUAAUAAGAUGUUUAGCAACAUAAUAAUACUUUAUAUUCUAAUAAGGUCUUACUCCUGGAUAGUUGCCGAUAGGAUAAUAGUUACAAAUCACAAACACCCACCCAUUUUUACAAUGGGCCUUAGCACAACCAAGAUCAGUAGUUGUUUUCCAAACAAUCUGAGUAUAAUGCAGACACGAAUCCGUGUGGCAUGUAUUAGUUGCAUAGUCAUAGUCAGGCUUCUCAGUCAUCCAAAGCUUUGUAGCUUCCUCACCCGUCAUGUCAGGAAAAUUUUCAGCAAUGCACUCGCCAUAAGGUCCACCAGAAUGCACCAUUUCGCAGGUCUUAGAUUUCUUAUUAGCAUAGUCUUGUGCGUAGGCCGCUAAUGUUUCGUUCCAUUUGAGCGGAGCAACACCGACCUCGGCUCGAGCUUUGUUGUGUUCAUCAAGGAAGCCUUGGUUCAGUUGGUUGAGAGAAGUUGGUGCCUGUGGUUGAACAUUGUUUUGUGGUACCUCCGGUUCAACUUUGUUUUGUGGUACCUGUGGUUGAACUUUGAUUUGUGGUACCUCCGGUGGAACUUUGUUUUGUUGUAGCUGUGGUUGAACUUUGAUUUGUGGUACCUCCGGUGGAACUUUGUUUUGUUGUACUUGUGGUUGAACUUUAAUUUGUGGUACCUCCGGUUGAACUUUGUUUUGUGGUACCUCCAGAUCUCUGUUUUGUUCAUCACUGAGGUCUUGAUUAGCAUGGUCUUCUUGGGGUUGGCCAUGGUGGUUAUGGUGACCUUUUUUUCUAGCUUCAGAUACAUGAGAUCCAAAGAUUACUGCUAAGAUGCAUAAGCCCAGAAAAUGCUUGUUAAAUCCCAUUGUUUUCCUCUCUUCUUUUGUUCUUUUAGAAUGAAUAUUUUUCAUCUAUCUAGUGUGUAAUGGGGAACAAGAGAUUGAGCAAUUUAAUAGAGGGUUAUGACAGUUUUGUAGCUGAAAGUGGUUAAAAAAAAAAAAAAAAAACACUACUUUCAACCAUGAAAAAAAUUUUAAAAAUUUAAAAUGCGGCCAUCCUUAAAUCUUGUUAAAACAAAUGAAAUACAUCCCUUGAAUGGGAGAUAUUUUCCUUCCAAUUCGGGUCCAUUCUAUUUACCUCCAAUCCUCCGUAUACCUUUUUUUUCCUUUCUAAAAUUGGAUCCAAUACUUCUUAUAUUUAGAUAUAAUUUACAUUUAGAAUGUUGACCACUUGACUCUCCCUGUUUCACCAUCUCCUAUUGUUUUAUGUUAAAGUCUAAUAAAGUCAAGUAGUGAAAUUUUUAAGCAGGACUAAAUACUUGUGACACUAUGUACUUUACCCUUAAAAGCAGUUUUGUCUCUAGGUUUUCAAAUUUAAAUGGUAUAUCCCUAGACUUUCAUUUUUCGACCUUUUUGUCCACUCUGUCAAAUAUUUAUGUUAUCAUGAUGACAUGGCAUAUAUUGGACUUUAAAAUGACAAGAAUACCUUCGUUAAAAGUCACUUUUACUUUUUCUUUUUCUUUCUCUUUGUUUUUUUUCUUCUUUUUCUCUCUCGACUCAAGAAGAACGAAGAGAUAAAGAUUCUUUUAAAAAAAUAAUAAUAAAGGAAAGAGAAAAAACUUGGAUUUAGACUAGGGACAGUUUAGUCGUUUUGGUGACUUAAAGGCUUUUUUGACCGUUAACCGACGAAAUGGACAAAAAUUUCAAGAAAUAAGAGUUUAGGGAUAUACCGAUUAAAUUUGAAAAUCAAGGGACAAAUUGUGUUUAGAGGUAAAGUUAUAUGGGUGUCACAAGUAUAAAAUACUUUUAGGUAUAUGUCAUUUUUUUUUCAUCCAAUUAGUGUGUGUCUCUUUGAUAUCAGCACUGUAUCUCUCCCAUACAUUUCUCGAACUCUUCUUUUGACAAAUUCUAAGUUGAAAAUUGGUUGGAUGUAUAACAAUAAGAUUGAGCCUUGUGUAGACAAAUCUAUAACUCUAUAUUGGGGAGUAUUUGCCCUUUUCGAAUAUGCUGAGGCUAGACUCGAAUGAAUAAGCAAUUAUCAAUGCACAUUUCUAUAGGUCAAUAUAUAUAUAUACAGCAAGCUUCCUCUAAGGGAUCCCUUUUUUGGGGUUAUAUGAGGGAUUAAGGGAUUACACCAACUUUUCGAUCACCAUUUCCAAUCUUAACCGUUCAAUCUCUUCAUAUAUAUGAGUGGAUCAUUUCUGGAAAUUUUCAUCCCAAUUGGUGAUCAUUGAGGUGCUCAAAACUGCGAUUUGCAUGAACGGUUCAAAUCUGCCAGAUUUGAACCGUCUAUUGAUUUAAGUUAGUUCAAAGCCUUAACGAUCACCAAUUGGGAUGAAAAUUUCCAGAAAUGAUCCACUCAUAUAUAUGAAGAGAUUGAACGGUUAAGAUUGGAAAUGGUGAUCGAAAAGUUGGUGUAAUCCUUAAUCCCUCAUAUAACCCCAAAAAAGGGAUCCCUUAGAGGAAGCUUGCUGUAUAUAUAUAUCAGUUUCUAUCUAAAGCGGGACACAGCUUUGAAAUUAACGUGUGAGACUCCUUAUUUUGCUCACUUUUAGGUCACAUUUCCACAUAUACACCAUUCAAUAUCUACAACAUAGUGUGUAGAUCAUUCAUGCAAAGUUUCAUCAAAUUUGAAAAUCAUUUAGGUACCGAAUUAGAUUAAAUAAUAUAUAUAUAUAUAUAUAUAUAUAUACACACACACACAAUCUUUCUCAGUAAGGAUGUCCUAAUUUAUUCUUACGGUGCAGAUUUCCAUUUUAGACUCACUUUUUAAUCGAAUUUUCACAUCUCCACUAUCUAGUCUUUAGAUAUUAAUGUACGUAUAGAUCAUCUUUACAAAAUUUCAACCAAUUUGGUUAUCAUUAAGGCACUCAAAACUGCGUUUUUCUGUUAUAAACAUGAACGAUUCAAGUUCGACAGAAUUAUAUUCGUCAAAACAUUCGAAAAUUGUGUUUUAUCUUUAUAGUUGGUUCACAAUGACGUACACUUGCAUAUAACAUACUAAAUAAGUUAAUUAUGAAACUUCAGAUCAUGCAACUGGUUUAGUGGUGUGUUUCAUUUCCAGUCUAUUGCUAUGAAGUUUUAAAAUGUAGAGAAAAACCCUUUAAGAGUAUUUCACUUGUGUGAAACACUACAAUGGUACUCUUCUGAGCCAUCUCGUUGCUAUCAUUCGAUCAGGACCCAUUUUUAACCCAGAAGUUAUGAGAAAUGGGUUUCUCUAGGUCUCCUCCGCUAUUAAUGUUUUGUUGAAGUGGCAGAAGCCGAAAAAAAUAUGACUGGAAUUUUGGAUAAAAAAGUGAAGGUCCGAUUGGCAGAGUAUAGCGGGCCAGUACGGAUCAGGGUGGCACCGACCUGUUAUCCUUCCACUGCAAGGAGCGGGAAGUGAUCGCUGCUCUGUGAAACCAGCCUCACGCUGUGCCCUCCGCUUUAGGAACUGUGUAACCCAGGCCUUCGCCCAAACUACACAGCCCAACUCCUUGCUUGGAACGGGCAGGUCAGAAAUGAGACACAACUGACCCGACCCGCUAUGACUAAGCCAACGUUCCAACACCUUGGUGCCCCCACUCGGGUGAUAAGCUCGCGUUACCAAGCUCGGCAAUGUCAUAUGCUUGCAUUCAAUAUAUAAACGCUUCAAAUUUUAUAUUUUAUUCGAUGUGGGAAGACUUCCUCUGUAUGUCUCUUCUCUUAUGAGCUAGCUUAACAUGAAGGUCUAUUUGAAGCUCAAAUUUCGUCCAUGACAGAUUGAAUGAAUACUUAGUUUGAAGCGUUGCGUUGUUGAGUGUAAACAUACAACUCAAAACGAGAUAUAGUAUCCAAAUGAUUCAUUUGCUUCUCCUACUCAGAGCCUUGUUAUUUGUUAAUUUGUGACAUAACACUUCAUUUCUGGAACUUAAUGGACCUUCUUAUACUCUUAUCUCCCAACAAGAAGAGUUUUAUUUAUGAAACUUCAAUUCAGUGUGAUGCCAAUGAUCUGAAGCAUUACAGGUUCUUCUGUCUAUUUCCUUUAGGGAAGCAAUUAGUCUACCUCAAGGGAAGUAAGUAGA
Molecule: long non-coding RNA, 49568 nt
Filed under: Fragaria vesca (wild strawberry)
Lineage: Eukaryota; Viridiplantae; Streptophyta; Magnoliopsida; Rosales; Rosaceae
Description: long non-coding RNA (FVES_LNC000598)
Source: RNAcentral